CUUUAGCCAAGACAGGUCUUUCAUUGUCUCAUUGUUUAUGAUCGUUAAAAGUUGUAGCUGUGGCCAUUCAAGGCUUUCGGCAUUGUUUUCACCGUCUUGUACCCCGUCAAUGGAAAAGCUCCAAAGCUGUUUGGAAUUCUUAAACAUUCGCUUCCAGUCAAGUUUGAUAGUCGAUUGCACACUAAUGUCACAUCGUCUUAGAUUGACAAGUUGCCACAGGUCGGUGAAAUCACCAAAGUCCAUGCUCUUUGCCCGCAACUCCAGUGUCUCCAUGGCCACUAGUGCACCAAGGCUGUGAGGUAUUUUUAUUGUUGCACCAUAGAGGUCUAGCUUUAAAUGUCUUAGCUUGUGUAGGCUUGAAAUUCCACUCAAAUUCACAGCUAACUCCUUACCGGAAUGAAGCUCCAGCUCUUCCAAGUUGAAUAAUUGGGGCAGUAAUGCAAAGUUGAAUUUUGUGGUAUUAUCGCAUUUCAAAACCUUCAGUGAUGUCAAGCUGAAGAGCGCAUCUGGUAAUAUUGUCACACUUGAAUAUAGAAGGUCAAGCACUUGAAGGUUUCUCAGCUUGGAUAUGCUCUCUGGAAUAAAACGGACCUGAUCAGAGCAGUGAAGCAAGCUCAAUACCUUGACAUUUUGGAUGUGAUCUAUAAUAAGACUGACAUCCACACCAGAAAUUCCAUAACAUCCAUCGAGAAGCAAGACAUCUCGCACAUGAAUGUCAGACAAAAAGCUGCUUGUAACCUUCUUUCUGAUGAAUGAAACUUUAGAAAAUGUUGGAGAAAUCCCAGGUGGACAAUCAUAGCCAAACAGGCAUCCCUUCUCGUGCUCUUCCUGGGGUGGGUACUUCCCUUUCAAGAUUCUUAUGCACAGCUUGCGUACCAUAUCGUGCACAGUUACAUACUUACCCCAUCGAUCAUCAGUUGUCUUCACUAGGCAUCUUCGUUCCAGUUCACUAACAAUCUGCAGAGGCGAGAGUUCUGACCCAACCGCUAUCAAACAUUUUCUCAGAUCAUCAAAGUCGAUUGGCCAAUCUUCUGGAAACGCAGCCACAUAGAGAAAGCACUCUUGCAGCUUUUCAUCCUUAUUAGACAGCUCGUCAUAGCUAAACUUCAAGGGCUGGAACAUCCGCUUCUCAAUGUCCCCGUCAUCCAACAAAUGCAUCUUCUGAUAGCGUUCUUCCCACACCUGCGGCCUGUCAUGCCUGUAGUCAGCCAUGGCACUGCCAAUCACUUCAAGAGCUAAAGGGAGCCCCUCACAUUUGCUAGCUAUUCUCUCGGCAACUUUCACAAUGUCCGGAUCACUAGGUAGUGAAUCAUAAAAGGCAAACUUCCAAAACAUCUUUUUGCUCUCGUCCUCUGAUAGCUCAUGCACAGGAAGUUCCUUUGCACCCAGCAUGCUCAAAAUGCCUUUCUUUCUGCUUGUUACCAGCACCCGGCUGUAAGAGGACGGCCCUGCUGUAAAAUCCAGUCCCUUGGCCCAGCUCAUUUCCCACACAUCAUCCAGUAUCAGCAAGACACGAAUUCCACGAGCAACAUUUUGUGCCAAGUGCUGCACAUGCUCAAGGGUGCCUGCAUUUUGGGCCCUCUCUCUCAUGCCGCCCCAGUCAAGAGCGUUGAGGAGCUGGGCCCUGAGAUCAUCCUCCGAUGCAUCUUUCUUGACAGUGAUCCAUACAAUGUUGUCAUGGAAAUGCUGCCGGACCCUCUGGUCAUUGUUCACGAAUUUUGCAAGGGUGGUCUUGCCACACCCUCCCAUUCCCAGGAGUCCAAACCAUUUCCCCGGGGCUUGUGGAUCCAGGAGGGCAUUCACCACCUCAUCCACCUGCUCCCCAUGGCGGCCAAACAUGUCGCUGGGCUCGGGAACACCAUGCCGUACAUAGUUUACGAGACCUCUGUCUUGUGGACAACUCCGUACGGAAAAGCUGGUGCUCCGCUGUAUCACUCUCAACUCUUCUCGCUCGUACCUUUCAAUGUGCGGGAGGAGAUCGUUCUCGCAAGUGCGUACCAGCUCCGAAAUCGUGCCAGAUCGCUUCUCCCUGCGCGAAAGAUCCAUCUUUUAGCUUCAUUGCUUCAAACAUGAAUUCGAAUAAGCCUUACUGUGAUCCAAGCAGCGCUUGCGCCUUCUCAGUCCAUUCAGUCAGUUCAGUCAGCCACGCCUCAGCCUCACCAGAGUAGCGGAAAUCUGGAUUCCUGUGCUUGGGAGCAUUAAACUUGUCAAGCGUGGGCUGGGUUCUGGAUGCCCUCUUCUGUAGGUCCUCAAUGUGGACAUUCAGCUCAUGCUCGUGACCUUGGAUGUGCGACAGGAGAUCGUCGUAGGCACUUAAGGACUUCGCGAUGUCGUUACUCCGCUUGUACCUAUAGGAAGUGGAGAAGUUCAACCAGCUGCCUGCCAUUUCUACACACACACACACACAAAAGAUAAAAUGCUACUGUACCCACCGCUUUAUGGGGCUCCAGAUCCUGUUGUGGCGUGAUCCCAAGAGUGCUUGUGCCGUGGUGUUCCAUUUCCUGACACGCUCCAAGCAUUUCUCGGCCGCUUCAGAGAACGUGAAGCCAGGAUUCUGCUGCUUGUGAACACUGAAAGCUUCGAUCUUGUCCUGGAUGUGGGGCGCCUUGUUCUCCAGCGUGUCAAUGUUGGCAUUGCAGUCCCAUAUCUUCUUAGCAGGGCCCAGAGCCAAGCCACACAAGACGCCUGUCAAGGAGCCCACAACCUCCAUGCUUGUAGCCCUACAAGUAAAGGUCGUCUCCCAGAACUCUUGGCCUUGGUACCCCCUCUUAAAAUGAACAGUAAUUUUCAGAGAGGUAUAAGCUGUUACAAGUGACUUCAGUUUAAUUAGAGUUGAUUGCUUGCAGUAGAGCGAGUAGUAGAGGGCCUCGUGCAGCACCCUCCCUCUUGCAAUGCCAGCUGUGGCUCUCUCUCUCUCUCUCUCUCUCAUUGCUCCGACAUUGUAAGUUUCUCCAGGAGAGGUAACUUUUGUCGCUUUGUUUUAGUUGCACACAGAUAGGACGCCUUCCAGCUGACUGGGCCACGUGUUUGAUUGCUUUGGGUCAGGAAAGCGUACUCUGGGUCAUUCUUCACUAUUUUUGAGACUAGAAAUGUAUAUGGUUUUACUUUUGAACUAGGAUAGUUUAUAUGUUUUAAUAUAGUUAACACUCUGGAACUUGAUUUAUAAUAUUAAGGACAUCAAGAAUUAUUUUAAAAUUGGACUAAAACUUGAUUUUCCUUAUGGAUUUUCAACUACAUAUAAAAGAUGUACAUUCAUGUAAUUUAUUCAUAUGACAAUAUUCUUUUGAUAAGAGCAUAGGUUGUGCUGUUUAACAAACAUAUGAUGUUUUUGACUGGAACUUUUAUGAAAAAAUUCCCACACUUCAAUAAGAAAAUAAACAAAUUUAUAUUGUUUUUAUUUGCUGCAGAAUGUCCUUUUUUAAUUCUAUAUGAAUUGGGAUUGUUGGUUACAACUUCCAUACAUAUAACAUAUAAAUGUUCUAUUGCAAACAUCUUUACCACAUAUUUAAUUCUUCCUUGGAUCCUCAUAAUAUAAUCAAUUGCCACUUCUAUAGAAUUGUCUUUAUUGUUACUUCUAUAGUAGUGUCCUUAUUGUGGGCACCUUCUGGAAAUUUGUGAUAAAUUACAUCCAAAACUAAAUAAAAGUAAUUCCAAACAUUGUUAUAGUAUGGCACAAUGUAAACUUCUCUAACUAGAGUAUUCAUUAGUAAGAUGCAAAUAUGAUUAAAUUGAAUAUUCCCUAAAACUAAAAUAUGAGAACCUAUGUGGUGAUAUUUCAUUAGAGUUCUUCUUAGUUCACCUACAUAGUAACUGAGAAAAAAUUAUUAACUUCUACCAAAGAAAUAGAUAGAUAGACAAUUUCUCACUAGUAGUAUUUAACACAAAUAAAGAUUUCAAUUGCACCCCUAAUCCCAACUAAGAAUAUCUUUAUAAUUUGAGUAAAAUAUAUAUCACUUGGAAAACCAUAUAGUUAUAAGCAUGAAAUAUAAUAUGAUUAUUACAAACCUACCACCAUAGUUGUGUUUUGCUUUUGCACUAUGAUCUUAGCAUGUAUUGCCACAAUUUUUAAUUCUUCCUCUUUCAUGACAUUUUCUUCAACCAAAUUAUCAUUAGGUAAACUAUUCAUCACUCAUUCCAACAUCACUAAUGACAAAUAUAAUGUUCUCUCACAAAUCAUAUCCAAACCCAUUUGCUAGAUUAUAUGGUUCUGACUUUCCUCCCAAAUCCACUCUAUUAUUUGUCACCGUGCUAACUUAUGCAUUUUUAGUGAGAGUAAGUGUUUGCCUAUGCUUAUAGAAAGUAGAUUUGGUGAAAAAAUAACCUUUUGCUGCCCUUGUUGUAACAUAUGAUAGACAACAAUAAUUUUUCUUUCUUUUUUGCUUUAGUUUGGUAUGAACCAUUGAGAUGUGUCAUUUUCUGGCUAAUCUAGUGAUUCCAAUCCCCAGACAAAUAUUACAAUCAACAUUACAAGGCAAGCACAUUCUUGCAAAACUUGUGAAACUUAAAAAUACACAAUUAUCACAUAUCUUUUAGUGUUUUUAAUGUUGUCAGCCUCGUGGUUUUUUGCUGCUUUCUUUCAAAAACAUAAUAUUGUUAUAAAUAUUUUUUUUGAGGUAUUUUUCAAGUCCUUAUUUAGCAAAUUCAUAAUGGAGGUAGAGGAGAUAAAUUGCCCAAUCCGUAAUGCUUUUUGGGAUUGGGCUUAUAAGUAACAUUUGAUAAGCAUAGAACAUAGGAAGGUUAAAGCUUUUUACUUGUUUUUAUUGAUAGAAGUUUUUUUAUUUUGGUAUCAUGCUUACUUUAGCAAAAAUCUUUAACUCUUUGAGUUAGGUAAGGAUAAUUGCUUUUCUCUAAGGCUAUAAAGGUUUUAUGAAGAUCUUGCUUAUAUCCUUAUGCAUCUAAUGUGCCAGUUAUGUUUUUAAAUGAUUUUUUAUUUGAUUUUGGAAAUCUUUUAUUUACAAUUCUUAUAUGCACUACUAUUUUGUGUUGUUAGAGCUUACCAUUGCAUCCACAAUAACAUUAAUAUGUCUUCAAUUGAUCUUAAUAUGAUGCAAGAUAAAUGACUAUUUAAGGAUGACCUGUGAUUUGCAAAUGAUUUUGGACUUGGAAGAUGAUUGAGGUUGGGAUCGAUGGCAUAGAUGGCAUGCUGUUGUUUUAUAUUAUAGCAAGGUCCACCAACCAUGGUGCUAUUUGGCCUAUAAAGCAAUUAGAAUUGGUAAAGUGAUGUUUUUAAUUAUACAUUUUUUAAUAUAGUUAUGUGUUUGGAUUAUUAGGGUAUAAGUUGUUUGAAAGAAACUCCAUACCCUAGAAGUAAAUAAAGAGUCAAAAUAGUCUAAUGAUGCAACUAUGGAGAUAGAGCGAGCAUAAUUAGCUAAAAUCAAUAUAAAUUUGUUACUUAAUUUAUAUAUAUUUUUUACAUUUGAACUUCCCACAUGUGAGAUAGGGUUUGCAUAGUAGGGUUUAGUGGGCGGCGAGAUUGUAAAGGUGUUAAGUUUUGUAUCUGCUUAUCGUUCUAUUUGAAUUGACAAGCUGAGAUAAGGUAAGCAAUGGGUGAAAAUACACAAAGUGAAUCCCUUUUUUUUUUCCUAAAAUAUUGAUGACCUUAGCAAAAUUGAAUGGACCAUUUAGCAAGGGAUUGUAUAAAUAUAUUAUGAGUGUUUGUUUGGCUAGAGUGUUGCCAAACUUCAAUAACAAAAUUGAGAGUGAUGGAUUUUUUAGAGAGGAUUAUUUCAAGCUUAACAUUCCGAUAUGGAUGAGCAUUGGAGCAAAAAAAAAGGAUGCAAUCCAAUUGACAAAGAAACUCAAAAAUCUCAAUGAUUCGUCGGAAUAGAUAUGCUAUAAAAAGCAUGCCCAAAAUAAAAGCCCUUCACGAAAACAAUAGUACCAGCCAACACUCACUUAAGAAUAAAACACACAAAAUCAAGGAUUAUAAAAAUAGCAACCAAGGUUUGCAACACCAAUUUUUAAUGUUAAGUACUCCAAGCGCUUACUAGAUUUUUUAUUAACUUUAUUUAGCAAGAAUCUACUUUAUGAGUUAUUGUAAAUCUUUCCUAACUACAAAAGAGGAUACUUCAAAUGUGAAAGGUAAGUGGAGCAAAGAACUAAACUAAUUGAGCAAGUUUUUGAGUGUAAAAUAAAUAAUCAGUUCCUUUUGUAUUUAUGAGUUCAAAAUAAAAGAGAUCUUCAUUAUAUUGUGAUAUCAACUUCAGAAAGUAGUGGUUGCUAAAAUAGAGCAAAUAAAAGAGUUUAUAAAGUACUUGUAUGACUAGAGUGUUGUAAAUCUCCUUGCAUUUAAGUUAAAUAUGUAGAUCUUGAGUUUUUUAAAGUACAAACCAUAUUAGUUUCAAUAGAAAAAACCUCAUAGUUUUCAAUAUAACUUUUGCAAUAUCUUCAAAUAGCAAGGAUAACAAUUUUAGAUAAAUGGCAAUGAGUUAGAACUACAAUAGUUAAGAAAGUUUAUAGUGGCACAUUCAUUUGAAAGUAUAAAGCUCUACGAGUGAGGAUAAUUUCACUCAUAGAUAAGGAUUUACUGGCCAAUAUAAAGGUUUUUUUUCAUAUGUGAGGUAAAUUUUUUUUAGGAUGGCAUUUUAAAAUUAUGCUCAACACUAAAGAAAAAGGUAUGGACUAAUUUUAAAUUUUAAGUUCAGGAGAUGUAUUGGCCUAAGUGCAUGAAGGCCAUUGUCAUUGGCAAGGAUAAUGAAAAAAUUAUUAAAGCAGUAUUAUUUUCAAAAGAAUUUUAUAGUUUUUUAAUUUUUGUUUAUGUAGCUCUAGACUGAAUCAUAUGGCAACGGAUGUGAGGAGCAACCCCCAUACCCUACUAAACAAAAUUGAUGAAGAAAUUGAGUGUGAGAUUAUAACCAAAGAAGAAAAAGGUAAAUUUCAUAGUAUAACUUAAUUGUAUAUAUGGAUUAAUAUUUUCUGGCUCUAUUUACAAAUAGAAGAACACUGAAAGUGCUUCCUUAAAUAAUUUUUUAUUAAAAUGUGGAUAAUAUUAUAAAAAUUUUUUAUUGUUUUGCAACAAUCUUCACUAAAUUUUUUUUUUUUGGCUUGUGUGUAUUAAUUAUAACUAACUUGUAUAACUUUGUAAGUGUCAUCCACAAUAGUAAAAGCUUAGCCUAUGGCCAUAAAUAUUUAUAAGGAGGUGUAUUGAUUCUUAAGCUUGUAUAUAUUAUAUAAUAUAUGAGGAAAAAGAAGUGGAAUACACUGUAAAUGCAAAAAAAAAAUCAACAACUAUUAAUAAAGUAGUAUAAUAACAAAUCAAUAUAAGUAAUUUUAUUUUUUUCCACUCAAAUUUAGCAAAUACUUGCAAGAAUUUUCUAAGCUUAACAUAGCAAUUCUAAGAAAAUUAGUGGAAUUGCUCCUUGAAUUUAAGUUUUCUUUUGUUAACAUAAAGCAAUUUUAUAAAAAUGAAAACUAUAUUUACCAAUUGCCAAAUGCUUGCAAAAUUAAAACUGAACAAACCUUAAAGGACAUUGUUGAGAAGAGUGUGAAGUUUGAAUAAUUGAUUAUAUUUAAAGAGGCUUGGUCCAUAAAUACUUGGGACUACACCACUAUGAUAUUAAAAAAUUAAAAUGUAAUUAAAACCAUAUCUAUAAAUAUGGUUUUAUAUAUAAAAAUUUAUAUGCAACACUAUAUCUGAAUUGUGAAUAAAAUUAUGUGAACAAAAUUGGCAAACAUCAGUUUCAAAACUAUAUAGAUAUCAGUAAACUAUAUAGAAAAGUAUAUGUACAUUUAUUCUCAAAAUACAACUCAAUCAUAUUCAAAAUUAUACAAAAAACCAUUCAUUAUGAUUGCCAAAUAGAGCAUAAAUCAUGAUGAAAACUAUGUACAAAACGAUUAGUGGUUGUGGUCCCAAAAGCAAUGCAUUAACAAUUAAGAAACCAAUCAUGAAACCAUUAAAGUCACAUAUGGUUUAACACAACCAUCUUGUUUUGGUACUAGUUAUAGUAACAAACCAUAUUGAUGAGCGUGUAAUGCUGGGCAACACUAUGCGACACUCUGGGUUUUAGAAAUAGGAAGAGGCUCCAGCUUAAGGCUCCAACCCCAGCGUUGGUAAAUCGUCGACGACAGGGAGUUCUAGAUCUACGGUGACAACAAAGGCCCCUGCGGCAAAAUGUUCCAUCGGCAGUGGAUUGCCAAAAACUCCUGCAAAAGCUGAGGCUUCUAGGACAGCAAAAAUUGUCGAGGUGAGCAAUGAUAGUGGAGCAGAGGAUUUAUAUGAUUCGGGAGUAGAAAGUGGAGCGAGGUAAACAAGAUCAUGACUGGAGGAGGAAACGAUGCCGAGGUGGAAAGAACAACAGUGGUGGAGAGCUCCAUUGAGACUGUCAGGAAACAUGGCGAGGCUGUUUCUAGCGCCUUAGCUGGACUUUCAAUCAGAGGUAGUGCCUUGACCCACGGUAAUCCCGUUAAGAUGGAAGCUGGUUGUGGUUCCGUGAAAGCUGAAGCUUCGGUUUUGAUCGCAGCUGGAUGUGAUCCUACGAAAGUAGAUGGCUUGGUGAAGAUGGAAGCUGGUUGUUUUACAUGCAGAGAGGUGGUGGCUUCUCCAAGAGACUGAAGUUGCCGGGUACUCGACGUCCAGGGGAUGCUGGAUUCGUGUUGGCGAGUUCGUGUCCUUCAAUUUUCCCAAGCCUGAAGUCGAAAGUAAGAAGAAGUUCUUUGAGCACAAGAAGGUUCGGCCGAAAGCGAGCUCCGACAUUGUAAGGUUCUUGACAAAAGCUUCAGGAGAGGUACGUUUCACUUGACUUGUUUCUUCGUUUUAAUUCUAACCAUUUGCUCACAGAUAGGACGGCUUCCAGCCGACUGGGCCAAGUGUUCGAUACCUUUGGGAAGUGCAAAAUGGCACCAGAGGCUCUUUCUCUUAUGAGCAGCAUAGUUCUCCAUUUUUCUGUGUUUACCAGAGACGUUACGUAUAUGAUGUGCUUGCAGAGUUUAUAUCAACAAGUCAGAAGCCUUACGAGGAGGGGGAUGAGCGCGGAUUGAAGCUUCUGCAAGCUAUGUUGAAGCCGUUAAUGCUUCGAAGAACAAAAGAUUCAACUGAUAAAGAAGGAAGGUAAGCAUUCUUUUCUUUGCACCGUGCCUUGUCUUGUAUUCACUCACAAGUUGGAUUCACAGACCAAUUCUUGUUCUCCAACCGACUCAAUGUGAAGUUAUUGAAUGCAAACUAUCUGAGCCUGAACGUGAUUUUUAUGAUGCCCUUUACCACAGAUCUAAGGCAUAAAGAACUUCUCUUUCUUUUACUUUCUCUUUUUUCUGAACACGAUUUUGCGUUUGUGAUCAGGUAAAAUUCGAUCAGUUCGUUGGACAAGGUAAAGUUCUCCAUAACUAUGCCUCGAUCCUCGAACUGCUACUUCGAUUACGGCAAGCUUGUGAUCAUCCUUUUCUUGUUCUGAGGUAGAAAAUGCAUCCUCUUAUGUCUGAAGUUCCUGACGUUUUCUUCGUCACGCAGCCGUGGCGAUACUGAAGACUUUGCGGACCUGGGAAAGCUGGCUAGACGUUUCCUCCCAGGUGCCUUCGACGGCGUAUGUCAAAGAGGUGGUGGAUGAUAUUCGUAAAGGAGAAAGUGCUGAGUGCCCAAUUUGUUUGGAGAUGCCAGAGGACGCAGUUCUUACAUUGAAAGUGCCGUGAGUGCCGAGAAUGUGGACGAUCGAGCAUCGGUCAGACGAAGAACGUAUCGAUCAAGCGAUUCAUCGUCAAAGUAAGCGCCACUUGAAACUCUCUUUGACGUUUCUCAUGUCUCUUAAGCAGGAUCCAAGCGAGGAAGCAGCGAUUGAUCGCGGGGGCUCUCACAGACGAAGAGGUGCGAAGCGCUCGAAUCGAGGAGCUCAAAAUGCUAUUUAAAUGAGAAGAACUGGAGUCCUUAGCAUUUUUUUAACUUACAUCAGGUUAAAGAGGGGAAUAUGCUUCUAGCUUCGGCGCGUAUAUUCUUCAAUGUGUCAUAGCUAGGUUUCUUCGCGGCUAUGGCGGACAGCGAAGGAGCAGGCGAUUGCGUCGCAAGCGCGUUUGAUUCCGGCAGCAUCGGCGACGAGCAACGUAUGCAUGCUAGGAGCAGCAGCAGCGCCAGCGCCGGCGCCGCGCCGCGAUUUCGCUGGCCUAGAGCCGGAGUAGCCGAUCUAGAUUCAUGCAAGCAUAUGAUCUCUGGGAAAUUGAGCUGAACGCUGAGGCUUUGCAGGCGAUCGCGUCGAUUCCUCUCGUCUCCGCGGCCGGGGCGGCUAGAAAGCCGGGGCGCAUUCUAGAGUUUCGGGGUUUCUGGGGCGAUCAGUCAUGUAGCGCGCCUUGACUGCCACUACUCAGGCCGAGGAUGAACUGGGCGUGGAUGUGUCGUCUCCUCCACGACCACUCUACGUCCCAGCAAUAAGAUUUGGUGGGUGGUAGCAGCACCAAGACCCACUUUUCCCUUCGGAUCCAUUCUUGACUCCGUCGGACCACUGAUUUCUACGCUCUCCUCUUCCAGUCGAGAGACCGUUCCAUCCGCCAGUGCCGUAUCCUUUUCCAAAUGCUCGGACUUUCCAGCCUGCUGAUAAUGUGGUUCAUCCGCCGCAUUCCUCUGGGGAGCUUAAAGCUCGUCCUGGCCUUCACUUCGAGUCUCCGGUGUUUGGACCCAGCGCAGCAGAGACCUCGGACUCCAAGCGCGCCCCAGAGCAGCCGAGGAGAUCGGUUACACCUGCGAAGGAUGACAAGCAACAAUUCCACGGCAAUGGUUCCGAGCUCCUUCAGUUGUUACAGGGUGGUCCUGGUCGUGUGAAGCCCACAGCCUCCACAAAGGUGGAUGCUACACAGGACAGUGGGGAUUCUGGAGAGCCAUCAAAGAAAGGAAGUCCAUCUGCUGUUCACGGCCCAUGUCCUUUCUCCUCCGCAGAGUCCAAAUGACCUCCUUGGACGUUUGUGGGCUGCUCUUCCGUCGUCAAGCCACACUUCGUUUGACGGAGAAAGCGAACGCAAGACGUCAGCCCGGAGCUUUGGCGUUGAAGUGAACGAGAUGUCCCGGGAAGUCGACGGAGGUGAAGCUGCUGGUUUCGCACUUUUGAAGCGAAGGGGAUCGGAGCCUGCCGCCUCGCACUACCUUUAAACGGCUACGACUAUAACGACUCUAAGACAAAUGAUAAGCCGAGGACAAACUUGGCAUCCGGAAGACUACAGGACUAUCGUGGGAGAUACGUAAAUGGAGAGGCCGAAUUUGAGCCCGGAGGCGAUGACUUUAGAGGUGCGGGAAGGCGUCGAGGUACCGGUCGUGCAGACGCCAGACGCGGUGGUCGGGGUGCUGUUGGCCAGUGGAUUGCGGUAAGUGAGAGGCAUAAAGAUGCUGAGCCAAGUGACAUCACCUCCUGCGAUAUCUCUGAUGGAAGGGACGAGUCGCUUAAAUCUUCAAACGGGACUCAGUCGAAUGCUAGGAGAAAACAUCAACAGGUAUGGAGGAUAAAACAGGCCGACUCAAAGGCAGCAUUUCCAGCGGAGGAAAAACCGGACUACGAGGUUCCAAAGGCACGGUCUUUGGCAUCUCAACUUGAACGUCCAGCAUCGGAAAGUACGCAAAACUCUUCCGUUGGUGCGGCUUUUGAGGAGUCCAAACAGCGGCUCCAUAAUCUAGAUGCUUUGGAAGGAGAAGGCGUGACGACCUCUCUAGAUCUCGAGGAGCUACAAAUUGACGGUCACCGUCGUGAGGGUAAAGCUCCACAGUUUUACAAGGUUUGUGCUUGCUUUUUUUCUUUCUCUAUUUUCAUGUGUUUGUAUCUCUGGUUACAGCCGAAGGAGAACCGUUUCAGGACCUCUGAAGAACUAAAGGUAUGCAUAUGCAUAUUCUUAAUAUUGUUAUGUUUUCCAUGUUUUACCAUUUACUCUAUACACCAGAUUUUAAAAUACUCAAAACCACGAGAGUAAAGUAAUAUCCUGAGAAUACGAUUUGUAAGAAAAACAGAAACUGUGUCUUCUCCAAACGCUGCUGACGGCUUGGAAAUCUCUGUUUUUGUUUUUUGAGUGAUGCAAAAUAGUGUAGCAUUUGCGCAGAUCGAGAACCCAAUCGAUGUCCACUGAAGGAGCAAGGUUUACUAGCGCCCGUAGAAUGUUAUCUGGAGAUCUGGCCGCUCCUCAAGCCAUGGUGGAACUUUCGUACCUUUUAGGCAGCGUAGGACUUUGAGCCUGGGAAAUAAGCCAAGGCCGUGAUCGUCUGAACUCAAUUGGGGCCACACUACAUCAUCAUGACCAGAGAGCUCAAGUUCCUCCAAUCCUGGAAGGGAUGCAAUGGAUGAUGGAAUAUUUUCGAUCCCUAUCAAGUGCGCCCAUCUUAAAAGAGUCAUCUGGUCUGUUGGCUCAAAGAAAUCAUUGGGGAUACAGCCCUUCCACAAAAAUAAUGUGACGCAUUUCACCUUCAGCUGUGAUCUCUCGGUUGGCAUCAAGAGUCUCCUCAUGUAACCUUCUACUCUCAGUUCAUCAAGGUCUUUGGGGUGUUGUGUCACAAAGAGAGGCAAAUGCUCCCAUGUAUUAUCAGGAGCCAGCUUGAAUGUUAAAAGCUGCAGGUUUGGAAGACUUGCUGCCAAAUCGUCCUUGAACUCCGACUGUGCAAUGUGUAGAUUUUCAAGGCCCAGAACUUCAAGGCAUGGGAACGAUCCAUCUAAACUGAAGAACUGGAUACCACUGUCUAGGCGAAGUUCUCGUAGCCGCUGAAAGCCCUUUAACCAGGACAGGUCUUUCAUUGUCUCAUUGUUCCUGAUGGUUAACAAUUGUAGCUGUGGCCAUUCAAGGCUUUCGGCAUUGUUUUCACCGUCUUCAACCCCGUCAAUCGCAAAGCCCUCAAGCUGUUUGGAAUUCUUAAACAUUCGCUUCCAGUCAAGUUUGAUAGUCGAUUUCACCCAAAUCUCACAUCGUUUCAGAUUGACAAGUUGCCACGGGCCGGUGAAAUCGCCAAAGUCCAUGCUCUUUGCACGCAACACCAGUGUCUCAAUGUCCACUAGUGCACCAAGGCUGUGAGGUAUUUUUAUUGUUGCACCAUAGUAGAGCUCUAGCUUUAAAUGUCUUAGCUUGUGUAGGCUUGAAAUUCCACUCAAAUCCACAGCUAACUCCUCAAAGGAAUGAAGCUUCAGCUCUUCCAAGUCGAAUAAUUGGGGCAGUAAUGCAAAGUUGAGAUUUCUGGUAGCCUUGCAUUUCAAAACCUUCAGUGAUGUCAAGCUGAAGAGCGCAUCUGGCAAUUGAGGCACAUCAUCGUAGGAUGGAAAGUGAAGCACUUGAAGGUUUCUCAGCUUGGAUAUGCUCUCUGGAAUAGAACGGGCCAAAUUAUAGCAUCCAUUCAAGCUCAAUACCUUGACAUUUUGGAUGUGAUCUAUAUCCAAACCAGAAAUUUCAUGAGGUCCAUCGAGAAGCAAGACAUCUCGCACAUGAAUGUCAGACAAAAGGCUGCUUGUAACCUUCUUUCCAAUGAAUGAAACUUUAGAAAAUGUUGGAGAAAUCCCAGGUGGACAAUCAUAGCCAAACAGGCAUCCCUUCUCGUGCUCUUCCUGGGGUGGGUACUUCCCUUUCAUGAUUCUUAUGCACAGCUUGCGUACCAUAUCGUGCACAGUUACAUACUUACCCCAUCGAUCAUCAGUUGUCUUCACUAGGCAUCUUCGUUCCAGUUCACUAACAAUCUGCAGAGGCGAGAGUUCUGACCCAACCGCUAUCCAACAUUUUCUCAGAUCAUCAAACUCGAUUCGCACAUCUUCUGGAAACGCAGCCACAUAGAGAAAGCACUCUUGCAGCUUUUCAUCCUUAUUAGACAGCUCGUCAUAGCUAAACUUCAAGCGCUGGAACAUCUGCUUCUCAAUGUCCCCGUCAUUCAACAAAUGCAUCUUCUGAUAGCGUUCUUCCCACACCUGCGGCCCGUCAUGCCUGUAGUCAGCCAUGGCACUGCCAAUCACUUCAAGAGCUAAAGGGAGCCCCUCACAUUUGCUAGCUAUUCUCUCGGCAACUUUCACAAUGUCCGGAUCACUAGGUAGUGAAUCAUAAAAGGCAAACUUCCAAAACAUCUUUUUGCUCUCGUCCUCUGAUAGCUCAUGCACAGGAAGUUCCUUUGCACCCAGCAUGCUCAAAAUGUCUUCCUUUCUGGUUGUUACCAGCACCCGGCUGUAAGAGGACGGCCCUGCUAUAAAAUCCAGUCCCUUGGCCAAGCUCAUCUCCCACACAUCAUCCAGUAUCAGCAAGACACAAAUUCCACGAGCAACAUUUUGUGCCAAGUGCUGCACAUGCUCAAGGGUGCCUGCAUUUUGGGCCCUCUCUCUCAUGCCGCCCCAGUCAAGAGCGUUGAGGAGCUGGGCCCUGAGAUCAUCCUCCGAUGCAUCUUUCUUGACAGUGAUCCAUACAAUGUUGUCAUGGAAAUGCUGCCGGACCCUCUGGUCAUUGUUCACGAAUCUUGCAAGGGUGGUCUUGCCACACCCUCCCAUUCCCAGGAGUCCAAACCAUUUCCCCGGGGCUUGUGGAUCCAGGAGGGCAUUCACCACCUCAUCCACCUGCUCCCCAUGGCGGCCAAACAUGUCGUUGGCCUCGGGAACACCACGCCGUACAUACUUUACGAGACCUCUGUCUUGUGGACAACUCCGUACGGAAAAGCUGGUGCUCGGCUGUAUCACUCUCAACUCUUCUCGCUCGUACCUUUCAAUCUGCGGGAGGAGAUCGUUCUCGCAAGUGCGUACCAGCUCCGAAAUCGCGCCAGAUCGCUUCUCCCUGCGCGACAGAUCCAUCUUUUAGCUCCAUUGCUUCAAACAUGAAUUCGAAUAAGCCUUACUGUGAUCCAAGCAGCGCUUGCGCCUUCUUAGUCCAUUCAGUCAGUUCAGUCAGCCACGCCUCAGCCUCACCAGAGUAGCGGAAAUCUGGAUUCCUGUGCUUGGGAGCAUUAAACUUGUCAAGCGUGGCCUGGAUUCUGGAUGCCCUCUUCUUUAGCUCCUCAAGUGGACAUUCAGCUCAAGCUCGUGACCCUUGAUCUGCGACAGGAGAUCGCCGUAGGCACUUAAGGACUUCGCGAUCUCGUUACUCCGCUUGUACCUAUAGGAAGUGGAGAAGUUCAACCAGCUGCCUGCCAUUUCUACACACACACACACACAAAAGAUAAAAUGCUACUGUACCGACCGCUUUAUGGGGCUCCAGAUCCUGUUGUUGCGUGAUCCCAAGAGUGCUUGUGCCGUGGUGUUCCAUUUCCUGACACGCUCCAAGCAUUCCUCGGCCGCUUCAGAGAACAUAAAGCCAGGUCCAUUUCGCUCCUUGAGAUCACCAAAAGCGUCGAUCUUGUCCUGGAUGUGGGGCGCCUUGUUCUCCAGCGUGUCAAUGUUGGCAUUGCAGUCCCAUAUCUUCUUAGCAGGGCCCAGAGCCAAGCCACACAAGGCGCUUGCCAAGGAGCCCACAACCUCCAUGCCUGUAGACCUACAAGCAAAGGUCGUCUCCCAGAACUCUUGGCCUUGGUACCCCCUCUUAAAAUGAACAGUAAUUUUCAGAGAGGUAUAAGCUGUUACAAGUGACUUGAGUUUAAUUGGAGUUGAUUGCUUGCAGUAGAGCGCGUAGUAGAGGGCCUCGUGCAGCACCCUCCCUCUUGCAAUGCCAGCUCUCUCUCUCUCUCUCUCUCAUUGCUCCGACAAGAAUGCUCCGACAUUGUAAGUUUCUCCAGGAGAGGUAACUUUUGUCGCUUUGUUUUAGUUGCACACAGAUAGGACGCCUUCCAGCUGACUGGGCCACGUGUUUGAUUGCUUUGGGUCAGGAAAACGUACUCUGGGUCAUUGUUCACUAUUUUUGAGACUAGAAAUGUAUAUGGUUUAUUUUGUAAUGGAAAACAAUAUACUUUUGAACUAGGAUAGUUACAAGAUAAACAUUAGCACUUUCUCAAGAAAUUCUAAAAAUGAGAAAAAAUAAAAAUAUGAAAAUUACAAAUGCAUAAUCAAAUGAAGCAAAAUUUUGUUAUAGUUAAAUUUUCAGGAUUCAUGGUACUUGAGGAAAUGAGAAUCUUGGCUAGCUGGAACUUGAUUUAGGACAUCAAGAAUUAUUUUAAAAUUGGAAUAAAACUUGGUUUUCCUUAUGGAUUUUCAACUACAUAUAAAAGAUGUACAUUCAUUCGUAUGACAAUAUUCUUUUGAUAAGAGCAUAGGUUGUGCUGUUUAACAAACAUAUGAUGUUUUUGACUGGAACUUUUAUGAAAAAAUUCCCACACUUCAAUAAGAAAACAAACAAAUUUAUAUUGUUUUUAUUUGCUGCUGAAUGUCCUCUUUUAAUUUUAUAUGAAUUGGGAUUGUUGGUUACAACUGCCAUACAUAUAACAUAUAAAUGUUCUAUUGCAAACACCUUUACCACAUAUUUAAUUCUUUCUUGGAUCCUCAUAAUAUAAUCAAUUGCCACUUCUAUAGAAUUGUCUUUAUUGUUACUUUUAUAGUAGUGUCCUUAUUGUGGGCACCUUUUGGAAAUUUGUGAUAAAUUACAUCCAAAACUAAAUAAAAGUAAUUCCAAACAUUGUUAUAGUAUGGCACAAUGCAAACUUCUCUAACUAGAGCAUCCAUUAGUAUUAAACUGAAUAUUCCCUAAAACUAGAAUAUGAGAACUUAUGUGGUGAUAUUUCAUUAGAGUUCUUCUUAGUUCACCUACAUAGUAAUUGAGAAAAAAUUAUUAGCUUCUACCAAAGAAAUAGACAGAUAAACAAUUUCUCACUAGUAAUAUUUAACACAAAUAAAGAUUUCGAUUGCAUCCCUAAUCCCAACUAAGAAUAUCUUUAUAAUUUGAGUAAAACAUAUAUCACUUGGGAAACCAUACAGUUAUAAACAUGAAAUAUAAUAUGAUUAUUACAAACUUACCAUCAUAGUUGUGUUUUGCUUUUGCACUAUAGCCUUAGCAUGUAUAACCACAAUUCUUAGCUCUUCUUCCUCCAAGACAUUUUCUUCAACAAAAUUAUUAUUAGAUAAAUUAUUCAUCAUUACUUCUAACAUCACUAGUGAUAAAUAUAAUAUUCUCUUGCAAAUCAUAUCCAAACAAAUUUGCUAGAUUAUAUGGUUUUAACUUUCCCCCCAAAUCCGAUUUAUUAUUUUCCACCGUGCUAUGUUGUGCAUUUUUAAUGAGAAUAAGUGUUUGCCUAUGCUUAUAAAAAGUAGAUUUGGUGAAAAAAUAACCUUUUGCUGCCCUUGUUGCAACACAUGAUAGAUAACGAUAAUUUUUCUUUCCUUUUUGCUUUAGUUUGGUAUGAACUAUUGAGAUGUGUCAUCUUCUGGCUAAUCUAGUGAUUUCAAUCCCCACACAAGUAUUGCAACCAACAUUACAAGGCAGACACAUUUUUCCAAAAUUUGUGAAACUUAAAAAUACACAAUUAUCACAUAUCUUUUAGUGUUUUUAAUGUUGUCAGCCUCGUGAUUUUUUGCUACUUUCUUUCAAAAACAUAAUAUUGUUACAAAUAUUAUUUUUGAGGUAUUUUUCAAGUCCUCACAUAGCAAAUUCAUGAUGGAGGUAGAAGAGAUAGAUUGCCCAAUCUGUGAUGCUUUUUGGGAUUGGGCUCAUAAGUAACAUUUGAUAAACAUAGAAUAUAGGAAAGUUAAGACUUUUUACUUGUUUUUAUUGAUAGAAGUUUCUUUAUUUUGGUAUCAUGCUUACUUUAGCAAAAAUCUUUAACUCUUUGAGUUAAGUAAGGAUAAUUGCUCUUCUCUAAAGCUAUGAAGGUUUUAGUGAAGAUCCGGCUCAUAUCCUUAUGCAUCCAAUGUGCCAAUUAUGUUUUUAAGUGAUUUUUUAUUUGGUUUUGGAAAUCUUUUGUUUACAAUUCUUAUAUGCACUACUAUUUUGUGUUGUUAGAAUUUACCAUUGCAUCCACAAUAACAUUAAUAUGUCUUCAAUUGACCUUGACAUGAUACAAGGUAGAUGAGUAUUCAAGGAUACCCUGUGAUUUGCAAAUAAUUUUGGACUUGGAAGAUGGUUGAGGUUGGGAUUGGUGGAAUAGAUGGCAUGCUAUUGUUUUACAUUAUAACAAGGUUCACCCCACCAUGGUGCUAUUUGGCCUAUAAAGAAAUUAGAGUGAUAUUUUUAAUUAUACAUUUUUUAAGAUAGUUAUGUUUUGGAUUAUUAGGGUAUAAGUUGUGAUUUGACGUUUGGAAGAAACUCUAUAACCUAGAAGUAAUUGAAGAGUCAAAAUAGUCCAAUGAUGCAACUAUGGAGAUAAAAAGUCUUUUUAGCGAGACCAUAAUAUUGGAUAUGGUAACAAAUAAAUUUGAUUUUGGAGAAAGUGAAGUAAAAGUUUUUAGUGCACAUAGUUAUAAAAGCAUAAUUAGCUAAAAUUAAUACAAGUUUGUUACUCAAUUUAUAUAUAUUUUUUACAUUUGAACCUCCCACUUGUGAACUAGAGUUUGUAUAGUAGGGUUUAGUGGGCGGCGAGAUUGUAGAGGUGCUAGGUUUUGUAUUUGCUCAUCAUUCUAGUUGAAUUGACGAGCUGAGAUAAGGUAAGCAAUGGGUGAAAAUACACAAAGUGAAUCCCUUUUUUUUUUUCCUCAAAUAUUGAUAACCCUAGCAAAAUUGAAUGGACCAUUUAGCAAGGGAUUGUAUAAAUAAAUUAUGAGUGUUUGUUUGGCUAAAGUGUUGCCAAACUUCCAUAACAAGAUUGAGAGUAAUGGAUUUUUUAAAGAGGAUCAUUUCAAGCUCAACAUUUUGAUAUGGAUGAGUAUUAGAGUAAAAACAGGAGAUGCAAUUCAAUUGACAAAGACACUCAAAAAUCUCAAUCGUCAAAGUAGGUAUGCCUUAAAAAGCAUGCCCAAAAUAAAAGCCCUCCACGAAGACAAUAGUGCCAACCAAUACCCACUUAAAAAUAAAACACACCAAAUCAAGGAUUAUGAGAGUAGCAACCAAGGUUUGCAACACCAAUUUUCAAUGUUAAAAAGUACUCUAAGCGUUUACUAGAUUUUUUAUUAACUUUAUUUGGCAAAAAUCUACUUUAUGAGUUAUUGUAAAUCUUUCCUAAUUACAAAAGAGGAUACUUCAAAUGUGAAAGGUAAGUGGAGCAGAGAACUAAGCUAAUUGAGCAAGUUUAUGAGUGCAAAUUGGAUAAUCAUUUCAUUUUGUGUUUAUAAGUUCAAGAUAAAAGACAUCUUCAUUGUAUUGUGAUAUUAACUUAAAAAAUCAAUAGUUGCUAAAAUAGAGCAAAUAAAAGAGUUUAUAAAAUACUUGUAUGACUACAGUGUUGUGGAUCUCCUUGCAUUUAAGUCAAAUAUAAGGUUAGCAUUGAUAGAUCUUGAAUUUUUUAAGGUACAAACCAUAUUAGUUUCAAUGGAAAAAACCUCAUAAUUUUCAAUAUAGCUUUUGCAAUAUCUUCAAAUAGCAAGGAUAAAAAAUUUUUAAAAAUGGCAAUGAGUUAGAACUACAAUAAUUAAGAAAGUUUAUAAUGGCACACUCAUUUGAAAGUAUAAAGCCCUACGAGUGAGGAUAAUUUCACUCAUAGAUAAGGAUUUACUUCCCAUAUAAAGGUUUUUUUCACAUGUGAAGUAAAUCUUUUUUAGGAUGGCAUUCUAAAAUUAUACUCAACAUUAAAGAUAAAGGUAUGCACUAAUUUUAAAUUUUAAGUUCAGGAGAUGUAUUGGCAUAAGUGCAUAAAGGCCAUUGUCAUUAGCAAGGAUAAUGAAAAAAUUAUUAAAGUGGUAUUCUUUUCAAAAUAAUUUUGUAGUUUUUAAUUUUUAUUUAUGUAGCUCUAGACUAAAUCAUAUGGCAACGAACGUGAGGAGCAACCCCCAUACCUUACUAAACAGGAUUGAUGAAGAAAUUGAGUGUAAGAUUAUAACCAAGAAGAAAAAGGUAAAUUUCAUAGUAAAGCUUAAUUGUAUAUAUGGACUAAUAUUUUCUGGCACUAUUUACAAAUAGAAGAACACUGAAAGUGCUUCCUUAAAUAUUUUUUAUUAAAAUGUGGAUAAUAUUAUAAAAAUAAUUUAUUGUUUUGCAACAAUCUUCACUAAACAUUGUUUUUUUUAUGCUUGUGUGUAUUAAUUAUAACUAACUUGUAUGACUUUCUAACUAUUAUCCACAAUAGUAAAAGCUCAGCCUAUGGCUAUAAAUAUUUAUAAAGAGGUGUGUUAAUUCUUAUGCUUGUAUAUAUUAUAUAAUAUAACUUUAUUUAUUUAUUUAGUUAAUAUUGGCAAAAUUGCAAAACAACAAAAAAGUCCAGCUAAAUAAUAAGACUACUCUUUCUGUGUAUGAGGCAAAAGAAGUGGAAUACACUAUAAAAGCACAAAAAGAAUCAAUAACUAUUAAUAAAGUAAUAUAAUAACAAAUCAAUUUAAGUAGUUUUUUUUUUCACUCAAAUUUAGCAAAUACUUGCAAGAAUUUUCUAAGCUUAACAUAGAAAUUCUAAAAAAAUUAAUGGAAUCGCUCCUUGAAUUUAAGUUUCAUGAAGUAAUUCUAUAAGAAUGAAAACCAUAUUUACCAGUUGCUAAAUGCUUGCAAAAUUAAAACUGAACAAACCUUAAAGGACAUUGUUGAGCAGAGUGUAAAGUUUGGACAAUUGAUUAUAUCUAAAGAGGCCUGGUUCAUAAAUACUUGGGACUAUACCACUAUAACAUUAAAAAAUUAAAAUGUAAUUAAAACCAUAUCUAUAAAUAUGGUUCUAUAUAUAAAAAAUUGCUACGCCUUGCAUGUAGCAACGCUUGGUUUGCUUAAUAGUAGUUUUAUUAUUACUUAUUAAUCUAAUUGAUCAAAUAAAGUUUAUAAUUAUAAGCAUGUUUGUAAUUUAUAAACACAAGAUUAAUCUUAUUGCAUAUCAACCAUUAGAUGAUAGAAUAAAAAAGAAUAUACUAGAAAGGGUUUAGGAAAGUUUAUAAAUUAUAAACAUGUUUAUAAAUUAUAAAUACCAGAUUAAUCUAAAUGAAUACCAACCGUUAGAUGGUAGAAUAUCCUAGAAUAUCCAAGCUUAUUCUAGGUAUAUUCACUACCAUCCUAUAGGUUUGCUUAAGCAAACCAAAAAUUUAUAUGCAACACUAUAUCUGAAUUGUGAAUAAAAUUAUGUGAACAAAAUUGGCAAACAUCAGUUUCAAAACUAUAUAGGUAUCAGUAAACUAUAUAGAAAAGCAUAUGUACAUUUAUUCUCAAAAUACAACUCAAUCAUAUUCAAAACUAUACAAAAAACCAUUCAUUAUGAUUGCCAAAUAGAGCAUAAAUCAUGAUGAAAACUAUGUAUGGUUGUAGUCCCAAAACCAAUGCAUUAACAAUUUAGAAACCAAUCAUGAAACCAUUAAAGUCACAUAUGGUUUAACACAACCAUCUUGUUUUGGUACUAAUUAUAGUAAAAAACCAUAUUGAUGAGCGUGUUGUGGUUGUAAUGCUGGGCAACACUCCGGGUUUUGGNNNNNNNNNNNNNNNNNNNNNNNNNNNNNNNNNNNNNNNNNNNNNNNNNNNNNNNNNNNNNNNNNNNNNNNNNNNNNNNNNNNNNNNNNNNNNNNNNNNNNNNNNNNUUCCAUCGGCAGUGGAUCGCCAAAAACUCCUGCAAAAGCUGAGGCUUCUAGGACAGCAAAAAUUGCCGAGGUGAGCAAUGAUAGUGGAGCAGAGGAUUUAUAUGAUUCGGGAGUAGAAAGUGGAGCAAUCGAUGGUGGGGAAGAAGAGGUAAACAAGAUCAUGACUGGAGGAGGAAACGAUGCCGAGGUGGAAAGAACAACAGUGGUGGAGAGCUCCAUUGAGACUGUCAGGAAACAUGGCGAGGCUGUUUCUAGAGCCUUAGCUGGACUUUCAAUCAGAGGUAGUGCCUUGACCCACGGUAAUCCCGUUAAGAUGGAAGCUGGUUGUGGUUCCGUGAAAGCUGAAGCUUCGGUUUCGAUCGCAGCUGGAUGUGAUCCUACGAAAGUAGAUGGCUUGGUGAAGAUGGAAGCUGGUUGUUUUAGAUGCAGAGAGGUGGUGGCUUCUCCAAGAGACUGAAGUUGCCGGGUACUCGACGUCCAGGGGAUGACGGAUUCGUGUUGGCGAGUUCGUGUCCUUCAAUUUUCCCAAGCCUGAAGCCGAAAGUAAGAAGAAGUUCUUUGAGCACAAGAAGGUUCGGCCGAAAGCGAGCUCCGACAUUGUAAGGUUCUUGACAAAAGCUUCAGGAGAGGUACGUUUCACUUGACUUGUUUCUUCGUUUUAAUUCUAACCAUUUGACAGAUAGAACGGCUUCCAGCCGACUGGGCCAAGUGUUUGAUACCUUUGGGAAGUGCAAAUGGUACCAGAGGCUCUUUCUCUUAUGAGCAGAUUACGGCAAGCUUGUGAACAUCCUUUUCUUGUUCUGAGGUAGAAAAUGCAUCCUCUUAUGUCUGAAGUUCCUGACGUUUUCUUCGUCACGCAGCCGUGGCGAUACUGAAGACUUUGCGGACCUGGGAAAGCUGGCUAGACGUUUCUUGGACAAGAAUUCCUCCCUGGUGCCUUCGACGGCGUAUGUCAAAGAGGUGGUGGAUGAUAUUCGUAAAGGAGAAAGUGCUAAUUUGUUUGGAGAUGCACGCAGUUCUUACACCAUGCGCUCAUCGACUGUGCCGUGAGUGCCUAUUUAAUAGCUGGCGUACUAGCGCCGGAGGUCCCUGUCCAAUAUCCGAGGUAACAUAUUGUUUUUUUUUCUCGAGCUCUUUUCCAUAUCCAUAGCUAUCAUGCAGGCGUUCCUGUACGAAAUAGGAACUCAUAACCUCCAAACGUUAAGUGAGGCCGGGUCGAAAAGCGUUGUUUUAAGUCAGUGGACAGCGUUUCUCGACUUGUUAGAGAUACCAUUGAAAAGGUACGAGCGUCUUUCCUUUUGGUGCUUUCUCUUUGUUUGUGUUUCUAACAAUGCACUGCCAGGAAGAACUUCUGUUUCGUCCGCUUGGACGGAACACUAUCGCAGCGUCAGCGAGAACAAGUGCUCAAAAACUUCAGCAAUAUUCCAGCCGUGGCCGUAAGCUUUUUGUGUUGCUUACCUCCAAGAAACCACUCUAUUUUGUGGACAGGUCAUGCUCAUGCUUUUCUCAUGGUAUGCGCUAUAGUUUUCUUUCUUAGCCAUCUUCCGAGUCGAGCAUCGGUCAGACGAAGAACGUAUCGAUCAAGCGAUUCAUCGUCAAAGUAAGCGCCACUUGAAACUCUCUUUGACGUUUCUCAUGUCUCUAGAGCAGGACUCGGUGGAGGAGAGAAUGCAACAGGUCCAAGCGAGGAAGCAAGGAUUGAUCGCGAGGGCUCUCACAGACGAAGAGGUGCGAAGCGCUCGAAUCGAGGAGCUCAAAAUGCUAUUUAGAUGAGAAGAACUGGAGUCCUUAUCAUUUUUUUAACUUAUAUCUAGUUAAAUAGGGGAAUAUGCUUCUAGCAUCGGCGCGUAUAUUCUUCGGAUAGUUCAAUGAAUGAAUGUGUUAUAUGCGGACAGCGAAGGAGCAGGCGAUCGCGUCGCAAGCGCGUUUUGCAUCGGCGACGAGCAAGGUAUGCAUGCUAGGAUCGCCUCGAGAAGCAGCAGCAGCGCCAGCGCCGGCGCCGCGCCGCGAUUUGAGCCGGAGUAGCCGAUCUAGAUUCAUGCAAGCAUCCGAUCUCUAGGAAAUUGAGCUGAAAGCUGAGGCUUUGUAGGCGAUCGCGUUGAUUCCUCUCGUCUCCGCGGCCGGGGCGGCUAGAAAGCCGGGGCACAUUCUAGAGUUUCGGGGUUUCUGGGGCGAUCAGUCAUGUAUCGGGCAGUGAUUCUCUCACAGGGAGCUGGAAGUCAGCCAUGACGUGGAAUCCGCAACAAGUUCCUCCCAGCUUGUCCGCCUUGACUGCCACUACUCAGGCCGAGGAUGAACUGGGCGUGGAUGUGUCGUCUCCCAGCGGCGAUUUGCUACUCCAUUUUCUCGAGCGGUGGGGGCGACGAGCAGCUGAGGAGCAAUAUUAACUCUUGACCUUGUAGAUCGGAAUUCUUCACUUUUUUCACAGCUGUGACUCACUCACUCUAAGAGAUUCACAGUGAGCACCGCAACGAUCGCUACAUCGCUCGCAAGAAACACCUCUAUUUGUACAAACAGACAAACGUGGAGCACGUAAAGUACUUGUGCCUUUGGCCUAAAACGGGCAUCUUAAAGAUGCGACACGCCCGAGAAGAACAUCGUCUUUUCUCUUGUACGGCGUUGAUCCAGGCGUACGGGAAUAGAGGGCUCCUCUGCCGAUCUUUGAUGGGAUCCGGGCGAUCUUGUCACCGACGUCUUGAAAGAUCUUAGAUUCUAUCCGCAAUCGCCCAGUCAAUGCGAUCCUGGCGAUGGGUGCUCCAUAUCAUUCUAUUCCCGCCCGGACGUGAUCUCCAGGAUUUGCGAAGAAGAAGCUCGUCGAUCAGAUGGCGCGCAAUUGAUUGGGGCUUCCCGCUACAUUUUCCCGCGCUACUUCUCCAUUCUAGGGUUCUUUCUUGGAGGCGACGUAGGUUUUCUAUUGCCCGCGUGGUCGAGGAGACGGCGCUGGGGGGCGGCCUUGAUCGGCGUUCUGGAGCUGCACAGGUAAUGGGGCUCGACACUCCGGGUUUUAGAAAUAGGAAGAGGCUCCAGCUUAAGGCUCCGACGAGCAGUGCCAAGGCGAGGAGCCCCAGCCAGCGUUGGUAAAUCGUGGACGACAGGGAGCUCUAGAUGUACGGUGACAACAAAGGUCCCUGCGGCAAAAUGUUCCAUCGGCUGUGGAUCGCCAAAAACUCCCGCAAAAGCUGAGGCUUCUAGGACAGCAAAAAUUCCCGAGGUGAUUGUUGAUAGUGGAGCAGAGGAUUUAGAUGAUUCGGGAGUAGAAAGUGGAGCAAUCGAUGGUGGGGAAGAAGAGGUAAACAAGAUUAAGACUGGAGGAGGAAACGAUGCCGAGGUGGAAAGAACAACAGUGGUCGAGAGCUCCAUUGAGACUGUCUGGAAACAUGGCGAGGCUGUUUCUAGCGCCUUAGCUGGACUUUCAAUCAGAGGUAGUGCCUUGACCCACGGUAAUCCCGUUAAGAUGGAAGCUGGUUGUGGUUCCGUGAAAGCUGAAGCUUCGGUUUCGAUCGCAGCUGGAUGUGAUCCUAUGAAAGUAGAUGGCUUGGUGAAGAUGGAAGCUGGUUUUGAGUCUGCAAGAGUCGAAGCUCCGGUUGGCUCGCUGAAGAUGGAACCUGGUUAUGAUACUGUGAAAGUUGAAACUCCAUUCGGGGGUGGUACAGCUGCCCAUUUGUCUGAAGCGAAGGUGGUUCCAAUAGAAAAUGACACGGCUAAAGCUGCAGAGAAGCAACUGGUUGUUUUAGAUGCAGAGAGGUGGUGGCUUCUCCAAGAGACUGAAGUUGCCGGGUACUCGACGUCCAGGGGAUGCUGGAUUCGUGUUGGCGAGUUCGUGGCCUUCAAUUUUCCCAAGCCUGAAGCCGAAAGUAAGAAGAAGUUCUUUAAGCACAAGGGGUUCGGCCGAAAGCGAGCUCCGACAUUGUAAGGUUCUUGACAAAAGCUUCAGGAGAGGUACGUUUCACUUGACUUGUUUCUUCGUUUUACUUCUAACCAUUUGCUCACAGAUAGGACGGCUUCCAGCCGACUGGUCCAAGUGUUUGAUACCUUUGGGAAGUGCAAAAUGGCACCAGAGGCUCUUUCUCUUAUGAGCAGCAUAGUUCUCCAUUUGAGGUAGAGUUUCUGUGUUAACCAGAGACGUUACGUAUAUGAUGUGCUUGCAGAGUUUAUAUCAACAAGUCAGAAGCCUUACGAGGAGGGGGUUGAGCGCGGAUUGAAGCUUCUGCAAGCUAUCUUGAAGCCGUUAAUGCUUCGAAGAACAAAACAAAAGAUUCACAAGUUGGAUUCACAGACCAAUUCUUGUUCUCCAACCGGCUCAAUGUCAGGUUAUUGAAUGCAAACUAUCUGAGCCUGAACGUGAUUUUUAUGAUGCCCUUUACCACAGAUCUAAGGCAUGCUUUCGGAUUGAACUUCUUUUCUCUUUUUUCUGAACACGUUUUUGCGUUUGUGAUCAGGUAAAAUUCGAUCAGUUCGUUGGACAAGGUAAAGUUCUCCAUAACUAUGCGUCGAUCCUCGAACUGCUACUUCGAUUACGGCAAGCUUGUGAUCAUCCUUUUGUUGUUCUGAGGUAGAACAUGCAUCCUCUUAUGUCUGAAGUUCCUGACGUUUUCUUCGUCACGCAGCCGCGGCGAUACUGAAGACUUUGCGGACCUUGGAAAGCUGGCUAGACGUUUCUUGGACCCAAAGUCCAGGCUCUGCUGCACCACCUCCAGACGUUAAGUGAGGCCGGGUCGAAAAGCGUUGUUUUUAGUCAGUGGACAGCGUUUCUCGACUUGUUAGAGAUACCAUUGAAAAGGUACGAGCGUCUUUCCUUUUGGCGCUUUCUCUUUGUUUGUGUUUCUAACAAUGCACUGCCAGGACGAACUUCUGUUUCGUCCGCUUGGACGGAACACUAUCGCAGCGCUCAAAAACUUCAGCAAUAUUCCAGCCGUGGCUGUAAGCUUUUUGUAUUGCUUACCUCCAAGAAACCACUCUAUUUUGUGGACAGGUCAUGCUCAUGCUUUUCUCAUGGUACGCGCUAUAGUUUUCUUUUUUAGCCAUCUUCGGAGUCGAGAAUGUGGACGAUCGAGCAUCGGUCAGACGAAGAACGUAUCGAUCAAGCGAUUCAUCGUCAAAGUAAGCGCGAGUUGAAACUCUCUUUGACGUUUCUCAUGUCUCUAGAGCAGGACUCGGUGGAGGAGAGAAUGCAACAGGUCCAAGCGAGGAAGCAGCGAUUGAUCGCGAGGGCUCUCACAGACGAAGAGGUGCGAAGCGCUCGAAUCGAGGAGGUCAAAAUGCUAUUUAGAUGAGAAGAACUGGAGUCCUUAGCAUUUUUUUAACUUGUAUCAGUCUACAUAGUUAAAGAGGGGAAUAUGCUUCUAGCAUCGGCAGAGGAUGGCUAGGUUACAAGCAUUUCUAGGUUUCUUCGCGGCUAUGGCGGACAGCGAAGGAGCAGGCGAUCGCGUCGCAUGCGCGUUUGAUUCCGGCAGCAUCGGCGACGAGCAAGGUAUGCAUGCUAGGAUCGCCUCGAGAAGCAGCAGCAGCGCCAGAGCCAGAGUAGCCGAUCUAGAUUCAUGCAAGCAUAUGAUCUCUAGGAAAUUGAGCUGAACGCUGAGGCUUUGCAGGCGAUCGCGUCGAUUCCUCUCGUCUCCGCGGCCGGGUGGCUAGAAAGCCGGGGCGCAUUCUAGAGUUUCGGGGUUUCUGGGGCGAUCAGUCAUGUAGCGGGCAGUGAUUCUCUCACAGGGAGCUGGAAGUCAGCCAUGACGUGGAAUCCGCCACAAGUUCCUCCCAGCUUGUCCGCCUUGACUGCCACUACUCAGGCCGAGGAUGAACUGGGCGUGGAUGUGUCGUCUCCCAGCGGCGAUUUGCUACUCCAUUUUCUCAAGAGCUGUGAGCAGCUGAGGAGCAGUCGCAGCUACAGGACCCAGCAGUCGCAGGUCACGGUCCCUGCCACAGCUUUGCUCCCUCUGGAGGACCUGGAGGAGAAGGUCCUCCUCCACGACCACUCUACGUCCCAGCAAUAAGAUUUGGUGGGUGGUCACCUCACUUCCAGCAGCACCAAGACCCACUUUUCCCUUCGGAUCCAUUCUUGACUCCGUCGAACCACUGAUUUCUACGCUCGUUUGCUCCUCUUCCAGUCGAGAUCCGCCAGUGCCGUAUCCUUUUCCAAAUGCUCCGACUUUCCAGCCUGCUGAUAAUGUGGUUCAUCCGCCGCAUUCCUCUGGGGAGCUUAAAGCUCGUCCUGGCCUUCACUUGGAGUCUCCGGUGUUUGGACCCAGCGCAGCUGAGACCUCGGACUCCAAACGCGCCCCAGAGCAGCCGAGGAGAUCGGUUACACCUGCGAAGGAUGACAAGCAACAAUUCCACGGCAAUGGUUCCGAGCUCCUUCAGUUGUUACAGGGUGGUCCUGGUCGUGUUAAGCCCACAGCCUCCACAAAGGUGGAUGCUACACAGGACAGUGGGGAUUCUGGAGAGCCAUCAAAGAAAGGAAGUCCAUCUGCUGUUCACGGUCCCAUAGGACCGCCGAGGCGUCAUGUCGUUUCUCCUCCGCAGAGUCCAAAUGACCUCCUUGGACGUUUGUGGGCUGCUCUUCCGUCGUCAAGCCACACUUUGUUUGACGGAGAAAGCGAACGCAAGCCGCCAGCCCGGAGCUUUGGCGUUGAAGUGAACGAGAUGUCCCGGGAAGUCGAUGGAGGUGGAGCUGCUGGUUUCGCACUUUUGAAGCGAAGAGGAUCGGAGCCUGCCGCCUCGCACUACCUUUAAACGGCUACGACUAUAACGACUCUAAGACAAAUGAUAAGCCGAGGACAAACUCGGCAUCCGGAAGACUACAGGACUAUCGUGGGAGAUACGUAAAUGGAGAGGCCGAAUUUGAGCCCGGAGGCGAUGACUUUAGAGGUGCGGGAAGGCGUCGAGGUACCGGUCGUGCAGACGCCAGACGCGGUGGUCGGGGUGCUGUUGGCCAGUGGAUUGCGGUAAGUGAGAGGCAUAAAGAUGCUGAGCCAAGUGACAUCACCUCCUGCGGUAUCUCUGAUGGAAGGGACGAGUCGCUUAAAUCUUGAAACGGGACUUAGUCGAAUGCUCGGAGAAAACAUCAACAGGAAUGGAGGAUAAAACAGGCCGACUCAAAGGCAGCAUUUCCAGCGGAGGAAAAACCGGACUACAAGGUUGCAAAGGCACGGUCUUUGGCAUCUCAACUUGAACGUCCAGGCUUGCCAUCGGGAAGUACGCAAAACUCUUCCGUUGGCGCGGCUUUUGAGGAGUCCAAACAGAGGCUCCAUAAUCUAGAUGCUUUGGAAGGAGAGGGCGUGACGACCUCUCUAGAUCUCGAGGAGCUACAAAUUGACGGUCACCGUCGUGAGGGUAAAGCUCCACAGUUUUACAAGGUUUGUGCUUGCUUUUUCUCUUUCUUUAUUUUCAUGUGUUUGUAUCUCUGGUUACAGCCGAAGGAGAACCGUUUCAGGACCUCUGAAGAAGAACUAAAGGUAUGCAUAUGCAUAUUCUUAAUAUUGUUAUGUUUUCCAUGUUUUACCAUUUACUCUAUACACCAGAUUUUAAAAUACUCAAAACCACGAGAGUAAAGUAAUAUCCUGAGAAUACGAUUUGUAAGAAAAACAGAAACUGUCUCUUCUCCAAACGCUGCUGACGGCUUGGAAAUCUCUGUUUUUGUUUUUUGAGUGAUGCAAAAUAGUGUAGCAUUUGCGCAGAUCGAGAACCCAAUCGAUGUCCACUGAAGGAGCAAGGUUUAAUCCCAGAAUGUUAUAUGGACAUCCGGCCGCUCCUCAAGCCAUGGUGGAACUUUCGUACCUUUUUCGCAGCAUAGGACUUUGAGCCUUGGAAAUAAGCCAAGGCCGUGAUUGUCUGAACUCAAUUGGGGCCACACUACAUCAUCAUGAUCAUAGAGCCUAAGCAUCUCCAAUCCUGGAAGGGAUGCAAUGGAUGAUGGAAUAUUUUCGAUCCUAACCAAGGUUACAUAUUCUAGAGCAGUCAUCUGGUCUGUUGGCCCAAAGAAAUCAUUGGGGAGCUGCCUCAUACAGCCCUUCCGCAAAAAUAAUGUGAAUUGUUUCACCUUCAGCUGUGAUCUCUCGGUUGGCAUCAAGAGUCUCCUCGUGUAACCUUCUACUCUCAGUUCAAAAAGGUCAUUGGGGAGUUGUGUCACAAAGAGAGGCAAAUGCUCCCAUGUAUUAUCAGGAGCCAGAUUGAAUGUUAAGGUCUUCAGGUUUGGAAGACUUGCUGCCAAAUCAUCCUUGAACUCCGACUGUGCAAUGUGCAGAUUUUCAAGCUCCAGCCAUUCGAGGCAUGGGAACAAUCCAUCCAGACUGAAGAACCGGAUACCACUGCAGUCUAGGUGAAGUUCUCGUAGCCGUUGAAAGACCUUUAGCCAAGACAGGUCUUUCAUUGUCUCAUUGUUUGUGAUGGAUAAAGCUUGUAGCUGUGGCCAUUCAAGGGUUUCGGCAUUGUUUUCACCGUCUUGUACCCCGUCGAUUGAAAAGUGCUGAAGCUGGUUGGAAUUCUUAAACAUUCGCUUCCAGUCAAGUUUGAUAGUCGAUUCCACAUAAAUGUGACAUCGUCUUAGAUUGACAAGUUGCCACGGGCCUGUGAAAUCGCCAAAGUCCAUGCUCUUUGCACGCAACACCAGUGUCUCAAUGUCCACUAGUGCACCAAGGCUGUGAGGUAUUUUUAUUGUUGCAUUGUAGAGUUUUAGCUCUAAAUGUCUUAGCUUGUGUAGGCUUGAAAUUCCACUCAAACCUAUGACCACAGCUAACUCCUUACAAGAUUCAAGCUCCAGCUCUUCCAAGUUGAAUAAUUGGGGCAGUAAUGCAAAGUUGAAUUUUCUGAUCUUCUUGCAUUUAAAAACCUUCAGUGAUGUCAAGCUGAAGAGCGCAUCUGGCAAUUGAGGCGCAUCAUCGAAGGAUCGAACGUCAAGCACUUGAAGGUUUCUCAGCUUGGAUAUGCUAUCUGGAAUAAAACGGACCAAAUUAUAGCAUCUAUUCAAGCUCAAUACCUUGACAUUUUGGAUGUGAUCUAUAAUAAGACUGACAUCCACACCAGAAAUUCCACGACAUCCAUCGAGAAGCAAGACAUCUCGCACAUGAAUGUCAGACAAAAGGCUGCUUGUAACCUUCUUUCCAAUGAAUGAAACUUUAGAAAAUGUUGGAGAAAUCCCAGGUGGACAAUCAUAGCCAAACAGGCAUCCCUUCUCGUGCUCUUCCUGGGGUGGGUACUUCCCUUUCAAGAUUCUUAUGCACAGCUUGCGUACCAUAUCGUGCACAGUUACAUACUUAUCAGUUGUCUUCACUAGGCAUCUUCGUUCCAGUUCACUAACAAUCUGCAGAGGCGAGAGUUCUGACCCAACCGCUAUCCAACAUUUUCUCAGAUCAUCAAACUCGAUUUGCUCAUCUUCUGGAAACGCAGCCACAUAGAGAAAGCACUCUUGCAGCUUUUCAUCCUUAUUAAAGCGUCCCAGCUCGUCAUAGCUAAACUUCAAGCGCUGGAACAUCCGCUUCUCAAUGUCCCCGUCAUUCAACAAAUGCAUCUUCUCAUAGCGUUCUUCCCACACCUGCGGCCCGUCAUUCCUGUAGUCAGCCAUGGCACUGCCAAUCACUUCAAGAGCUAAAGGGAGCCCCUCACAUUUGCUAGCUAUUCUCUCGGCAACUUUCACAAUGUCCGGAUCACUAGGUAGUGAAUCAUAAAAGGCAAACUUCCAAAACAUCUUUUUGCUCUCGUCCUCUGAUAGCUCAUGCACAGGAAGUUCCUUUGCACCCAGCAUGCUCAAAAUGCCUUUCUUUCUGCUUGUUACCAGCACCCGGCUGUAAGAGGACGGCCCUGCUGUAAAAUCCAGUCCCUUGGCCAAGCUCAUUUCCCACACAUCAUCCAGUAUCAACAAGACAUGGUUGCCACGAGCAACAUUUUGUGCCAUCUGUUGCACAUGCUCAAUGGUGCCUGCAUUUUGGGCCCUCUCCUUCAUGUCGCCCCAUUCAAGAGCGUUGAGGAGCUGGGCCCUGAGAUCAUCCUCCGAUGCAUCUUUCUUGACAGUAAUCCACACAAUGUUGUCAUGGAAAUGCUGCCGGACCCUCUCGUCAUUGUGCACGAAGCUUGCAAGGGUGGUCUUGCCACACCCUCCCAUUCCCAGGAGUCCAAACCAUUUCCCCGGGGCUUGUGGAUCCAGGAGGGCAUUCACCACCUCAUCCACCUGCUCCCCAUGGCGGCCAAACAUGUCGUUGGCCUCGGGAACACCACGCCGUUCAUACUUUACGAGACCUCUGUCUUGUGGACAACUCCGUACGGAAAAGCUGGUGCUCCGCUGUAUCGCUCUCAACUCUUCUCGCUCGUACCUUUCAAUGUGCGGGAGGAGAUCGUUCUCGCAAGUGCGUACCAGCUCCGAAAUCGCGCCAGAUCGCUUCUCCCUGUGCGAAAGAUCCAUCUUUUAGCUUCAUUGCUUCAAACAUGAAUUCGAAUAAGCCUUACUGUAAUCCAAGCAGCGCUUGCGCCUUCUCAGUCCAUUCAGUCAGUUCAGUCAGCCACGCCUCAGCCUCACCAGAGUAGCGGAAAUCUGGAUUCUUGUGCUUGGGAGCAUUAAACUUGUCAAGCGUGGCCUGGAUUCUGGAUUGCCUCUUCUGUAGGUCCUCAAUGUGGACAUUCAGCUCAUGCUCGUGACCUUGGAUGUGCGACAGGAGAUCGUCGUAGGCACUUAAGGACUUCGCGAUGUCGUUACUCCGCUUGUACCUAUAGGAAGUGGAGAAGUUCAACCAGCUGCCUGCCAUUUCUACACACACACACACACAAAAGAUAAAAUGCUACUGUACCCACCGCUUUAUGGGGCUCCAGAUCCUGUUGUGGCGUGAUCCCAAGAGUGCUUGUGCCGUGGUGUUCCAUUUCCUGACACGCUCCAAGCAUUUCUCGGCCGCUUCAGAGAACGUGAAGCCAGGAUUCUGCUGCUUGUGAACACUGAAAGCUUCGAUCUUGUCCUGGAUGUGGGGCGCCUUGUUCUCCAGCGUGUCAAUGUUGGCAUUGCAGUCCCAUAUCUUCUUAGCAGGGCCCAGAGCCAAGCCACACAAGACGCCUGUCAAGGAGCCCACAACCUCCAUGCUUGUAGCCCUACAAGUAAAGGUCGUCUCCCAGAACUCUUGGCCUUGGUACCCCCUCUUAAAAUGAACAGUAAUUUUCAGAGAGGUAUAAGCUGUUACAAGUGACUUCAGUUUAAUUAGAGUUGAUUGCUUGCAGUAGAGCGAGUAGUAGAGGGCCUCGUGCAGCACCCUCCCUCUUGCAAUGCCAGCUGUGGCUCUCUCUCUCUCUCUCUCUCUCAUUGCUCCGACAUUGUAAGUUUCUCCAGGAGAGGUAACUUUUGUCGCUUUGUUUUAGUUGCACACAGAUAGGACGCCUUCCAGCUGACUGGGCCACGUGUUUGAUUGCUUUGGGUCAGGAAAGCGUACUCUGGGUCAUUCUUCACUAUUUUUGAGACUAGAAAUGUAUAUGGUUUUACUUUUGAACUAGGAUAGUUUAUAUGUUUUAAUAUAGUUAACACUCUGGAACUUGAUUUAUAAUAUUAAGGACAUCAAGAAUUAUUUUAAAAUUGGACUAAAACUUGAUUUUCCUUAUGGAUUUUCAACUACAUAUAAAAGAUGUACAUUCAUGUAAUUUAUUCAUAUGACAAUAUUCUUUUGAUAAGAGCAUAGGUUGUGCUGUUUAACAAACAUAUGAUGUUUUUGACUGGAACUUUUAUGAAAAAAUUCCCACACUUCAAUAAGAAAAUAAACAAAUUUAUAUUGUUUUUAUUUGCUGCAGAAUGUCCUUUUUUAAUUCUAUAUGAAUUGGGAUUGUUGGUUACAACUUCCAUACAUAUAACAUAUAAAUGUUCUAUUGCAAACACCUUUACCACAUAUUUAAUUCUUCCUUGGAUCCUCAUAAUAUAAUCAAUUGCCACUUCUAUAAAAUUGUCUUUAUUGUUACUUCUAUAGUAGUGUCCUUAUUGUGGGCACCUUCUGGAAAUUUGUGAUAAACUACAUCCAAAACUAAAUAAAAGUAAUUCCAAACAUUGUUAUAGUAUGGCACAAUACAAACUUCUCUAACUAGAGCAUCCAUUAGUAAGAUGCAAAUAUGAUUAAACUGAAUAUUCCCUAAAACUAGAAUAUGAGAACCUAUGUGGUGAUAUUUCAUUAGAGUUCUUCUUAGUUCAUCUACAUAGUAACUGAGAAAAAAUUAUUAGCUUCUACCAAAGAAAUAGACAGAUAGACAAUUUCUCACUAGUAGUAUUUAACACAAAUAAAGAUUUCAAUUGCACCCCUAAUCCCAAUUAAGAAUAUCUUUAUAAUUUGAGUAAAAUAUAUAUCACUUGGAAAACCAUAUAGUUAUAAGCAUGAAAUAUAAUAUGAUUAUUACAAACCUACCACCAUAGUUGUGUUUUGCUUUUGCACUAUGAUUUUAGCAUGUAUUGCCACAAUUUUUAAUUCUUCCUCUUUCAUGACAUUUUCUUCAACCAAAUUAUCAUUAGGUAAACUAUUCAUCACUCAUUCCAACAUCACUAAUGACAAAUAUAAUGUUCUCUCACAAAUCAUAUCCAAACCCAUUUGCUAGAUUAUAUGGUUCUGACUUUCCCCCCAAAUCCACUCUAUUAUUUGUCACCGUGCUAACUUAUGCAUUUUUAGUGAGAGUAAGUGUUUGCCUAUGCUUAUAGAAAGUAGAUUUGGUGAAAAAAUAACCUUUUGCUGCCCUUGUUGCAACAUAUGAUAGACAACAAUAAUUUUUCUUUCCUUUUUGAUUUAGUUUGGUAUGAACCAUUGAGAUGUGUCAUUUUCUAGCUAAUCUAGUGAUUCUAAUCCCCAGACAAAUAUUACAAUCAACAUUACAAGGCAAACACAUUCUUGCAAAACUUGUGAAACUUAAAAAUACACGAUUAUCACAUAUUUUUUAGUGUUUUUAAUGUUGUCAGCCUUGUGGUUUUUUGCUGCUUUCUUUCAAAAACAUAAUAUUGUUAUAAAUAUUUUUUUUGAGGUAUUUUUCAAGUCCUUAUUUAGCAAAUUCAUAAUGGAGGUAGAGAUAAAUUGCCCAAUCCGUAAUGCUUUUUGGGAUUGGGCCUAUAAGUAACAUUUGAUAAACAUAGAACAUAGGAAGGUUAAGGCUUUUUACUUGCAUUUAUUGAUAGAAGUUUUUUUCUGCUGCUUGUGAUCACUGAAAGCGUUGAUCUUGGCCUGGAUGUGGUGCGCCUUGUUCUCCAGCGUUUCAAUGUUGGCAUUGCAGUCCCAUAUCUUCUUAGCAGGGCCCAGAGCCAAGCCACACAAGGCGCUUGCCAAGACGCUUGUCAAGGAGCCCACAACCUCCAUGGCUGUAGACCUACAAGUAAAGGUUGUCUCCCUCCCAGAAAGAAGCACAAUAUUAACUCUUGACCUUGUAGAUCGGAAUUCUUCACUUUUUUCACAGCUGUGACUCACUCACUCUAAGAGAUUCACAGUGAGCACCGCAACGAUCGCUACAUCGCUCGCAAGAAACACCUCUAUUUGUACAAACAGACAAACGUGGAGCACGUAAAGUACUUGUGUCUUUGGCCUAAAACGGGCAUCUUAAACGCCAUAGCCAGAAAAUGGACGGCGGAGAUCUUUUGAGCAAGAACCCUAAGCCCCAAUUUCUCUUGGCGAGGCGGCGAGAGAGCGAUGGCGCAGAGAGAUGCGACACGCCCGAGAAGAACAUCGUCUUUUCUCUUGUACGGCGUUGAUCCAGGCGAACGGGAAUAGAGGGCUCCUCUGCCGAUCUUUGAUGGGAUCCGGGCGAUCUUGUCACCGACGUCUUGAAAGAUCUUAGAUUCUAUCCGCAAUCGCCCAGUCAAUGCGAUCCUGGCGAUGGGUGCUCCAUAUCAUUCUAUUCCCGCCCGGACGUGAUCUCCAGGAUUUGCGAAGAAGAAGCUCGUCGAUCAGAUGCGCGAUGCUGGCGCGCAAUUGAUUGGGGCUUCCCGCUACAUUUUCCCGCGCUAUCGUCUCUACUUCUCCAUUCUAGGGUUCUUUCUUGGAGGCGACGUAGGUUUUCUAUUGCCCGCGUGGUCGAGGAGACGGCGCUGGGGGGCGGCCUUGAUCGGCGUUCUGGAGCUACACAGGUAAUGGGGCUCGAAAUAGGAAGAGGCUCCAGCUUAAGGCUCCGACGAGCAGUGCCAAGGCGAGGAGCCCCAGCCAGCGUUACGGUGACAACAAAGGCCCCUGGGGCAAAAUGUUCCAUCGGCAGUGGAUCGCCAAAAACUCCUGCAAAAGCUGAGGCUUCUAGGACAGCAAAAAUUGCCGAGGUGAGCAAUGAUAGUGGAGCAGAGGAUUUAUAUGAUUCGGGAGUAGAAAGUGGAGCAAUCGAUGGUGGGGAAGAAGAGGUAAACAAGAUUAUGACUGGAGGAGGAAACGAUGCCGAGGUGGAAAGAACAACAGUGGUGGAGAGCUCCAUUGAGACUGUCAGGAAACAUGGCGAGGCUGUUUCUAGCGCCUUAGCUGGACUUUCAAUCAGAGGUAGUGCCUUGACCCACGGUAAUCCCGUUAAGAUGAAAGCUGGUUGUGGUUCCGUGAAAGCUGAAGCUUCGGUUUCGAUCGCAGCUGGAUGUGAUCCUAUGAAAGUAGAUGGAUUGGUGAAAAUGGAAGCUGGUUUUGAGUCUGCAAGAGUCGAAGCUCUGGUUGGCUCGGUGAAGAUGGACCCUCGUUAUGAUACUGUGAAACUUGAAACUCCAUUCGGGGGUUGUUUUAGAUGUUGAGAGGUGGUGGCUUCUCCAAGAGACUGAAGUUGCCGGGUACUCGACGUCCAGGGGAUGCCGGAUUCGUGUUGGCGAGUUCAUUUCCUUCAGUUUUCCCAAGCCUGAAGCCGAAAGUAAGAAGAAUUUCUUUGAGCACAAGAAGGUUCGGCCGAAAGUGAGCUCCGAUAUUGUAAGGUUCUUGACAAAAGCUUCAGGAGAGGUACGUUUCACUUGACUUGUUUCUUCGUUUUACUUCUAACCAUUUGCUCACAGAUAGAACGGCUUCCAGCCGACUGCGCCAAGUGUUUGAUACCUUUGGGAAGUGCAAAAUGGCACCAGAGGCUCUUUCUCUUAUGAGCAGCAUAGUUCUCCAUUUGAGGUAGAGUUUUCUGUGUUUACCAGAGACGUUACGUAUAUGAUGUGCUUGCAGAGUUUAUAUCAACAAGUCAGAAGCCUUACGAGGAGGGGGUUGAGCGCGGAUUGAAGCUUCUGCAAGCUAUCUUGAAGCCGGUAAUGCUUCGAAGAACAAAAGAUUCAACUGAUAAAGAAGGAAGGUAAGCAUUUUUUUCUUUGCACCGUGCCUUGUCUUGUAUUCACUCACAAGUUGGAUAAUUCUUGUUCUCCGACCGGCUCAAUGUGAAGUUAUUGAAUGCAAACUAUCUGAGCCUGAACGUGAUUUUUAUGAUGCCCUUUACCACAGAUCUAAGGCAUGAAGAACUUCUCUUUCUUUUAUUUUCUCUUUUUUGUGAACACGUUUUUGCGUUUGUGAUCAGGUAAAAUUCGAUCAGUUCGUUGAACAAGGUAAAGUUCUCCAUAACUAUGCCUCGAUCCUCGAACUGCUACUUCGAUUACGGCAAAGCUUGUGAUCAUCCUUUUCUUGUUCUGAGGUAGAAAAUGCAUCCUCUUAUGUCUGAAGUUCCUGACGUUUUCUUCGUCACGCAGCCGUGGCGAUACUGAAGACUUUGCGGACCUGGGAAAGCUGGCUAGACGUUUCUUGGACAAGAAUUCCUCCCAGGUGCCUUCGACGGCGUAUGUCAAAGAGGUGGUGGAUGAUAUUCGUAAAGGAGAAAGUGCUGAGUGCCCAAUUUGUUUGGAGAUGCACGCAGUUCUUACACCAUGCGCUCAUCGAAUGUGCCGUGAGUGCCUAUUGAAUAGCUGGCGUACUAGCGCCGGAGGUCCCUGUCCAAUAUCCGAGGUAACAUAUUGUUUUAUUUCUCGAGCUCUUUUCCAUAUCCAUAGCUAUCAUGCAGGCGUUCCUGUACGAAAUAGGAACUCAUAACUGUACCAAGAAGUAAUCCAAAGUCGUCCAAAGUCGAGGCUCUGCUGCACCACCUCCAGACGUUAAGUGAGGCCGGGUCGAAAAGCGUUGAUUUUAGUCAGUGGACAGCGUUUCUCGACUUGUUAGAGAUACCAUUGAAAAGGUACGAGCGUCUUUCCUUUUGUGCUUUCUCUUUGUUUGUGUUUCUAACAAUGCACUGCCAGGAAGAACUUCUGUUUCGUCCGCUUGGACGGAACACUAUCGCAGCGUCAGCGAGAACAAGUGCUCAAAAACUUGAGCAAUAUUCCAGCCGUGGCCGUAAGCUUUUUGUGUUGCUUACCUCCAAGAAACCACUCUAUUUUGUGGACAGGUCAUGCUCAUGCCUUUCUCAUGGUACGCGCUAUAGUUUUCUUUUUUAGCCAUCUUCCGAGUCGAGAAUGUGGACGAUCGAGCAUCGGUCAGACGAAGAACGUAUCGAUCAAGCGAUUCAUCGUCAAAGUAAGCGCCACUUGAAACUCUCUUUGACGUUUCUCAUGUCUCUAAAGCAGGAUCGAAGCGAGGAAGCAGCGAUUGAUCGCGGGGGCUCUCACAGACGAAGAGGUGCGAAGCGCUCGAAUCGAGGUGCUCAAAAUGCUAUUUAGAUGAGAAGAACUGGAUUUUUUUAACUUAUAUCAGUGUACAUAGUUAAAGAGGGGAAUAUGCUUCUAGCAUCGGCGCGUAUAUUCUUCGGAUAGUUCAAUGUGUCAUGGAUGUAGGAGCUUUGGGUACAAGCAUUUCUAGGUUUCUUCGCGGCUAUGGCGGACAGCGAAGGAGCAGGCGAUCGCGUCGCAAGCGGCGACGAGCAAGGUAUGCAUGCUAGGAUCGCCUCGAGAAGCAGCAGCAGCGCCAGCGCCGGCGCCGCGCCGCGAUUUCGCUGGCCUAGAGAGCCGGAGUAGCCGAUCUAGAUUCAUGCAAGCAUAUUAUCUCUAGGAAAUUGAGCUGAACGCUGAGGCUUUGCAGGCGAUCGCGUCGAUUCCUCUGGUCUCCGCGGCCGGGGCGGCUAGAAAGCCGGGGCGCAUUCUAGAGUUUCGGGGUUUCUGGGGCGAUCAGUCAUGUAGCGGGUAGAGCCGUUGGUGCGGCUUUUGAGGAGUCCAAACAGAGGCUCCAUAAUCUAGAUGCUUUGGAAGGAGAAGGCGUGACGACCUCUCUAGAUCUUGAGGAGCUACAAAUUGACGGUCACCGUCGUGAGGGUAAAGCUCCACAGUUUUACAAGGUUUGUGCUUGCUUUUUUUCUUUCUCUAUUUUCAUGUGUUUGUAUCUCUGGUUACAGCCGAAGGAGAACCGUUUCAGGACCUCUGAAGAACUAAAGGUAUGCAUAUGCAUAUUCUUAAUAUUGUUAUGUUUUCCAUGUUUUACCAUUUACUCUAUACACCAGAUUUUAAAAUACUCAAAACCACGAGAGUAAAGUAAUAUCCUGAGAAUACGAUUUGUAAGAAAAACAGAAACUGUGUCUUCUCCAAACGCUGCUGACGGCUUGGAAAUCUCUGUUUUUGUUUUUUGAGUGAUGCAAAAUAGUGUAGCAUUUGCGCAGAUCGAGAACCCAAUCGAUGUCCACUGAAGGAGCAAGGUUUAAUCCCAGAAUGUUAUCUGGAGAUCCGGCCGCUCCUCAAGCCAUGGUGGAACUUUCGUACCUUUUUGGCAGCAUAGGACUUUGAGCCUGGGAAAUAAGCCAAGGCCGUGAUCGUCUGAACUCAAUUGGGGCCACACUACAUCAUCAUGAUCAGCGAGCUCAAGAACCUCCAAUCCUGGAAGGGAUGCAAUGGAUGAUGGAAUAUCUUCAAUCCCAGACAAGUGCACACGUCUUAAAAGAGUCAUCUGGUCUGUUGGCUCAAAGAAUUCAUUGGGGAGCUGCCUCAUACAGCCCUUCCACCAAUAUAAUAUGAACAAUUUCACCUUCAGCUGUGAUCUCUCGGUUGGCAUCAAGAGUCUCCUCAUGUAACCUUCUACUCUCAGUCCAUCAAGGUCUUUGGGGAGUUGUGUCACAAAGAGAGGCAAAUGCUCCCAUGUAUUAUCAGGAGCCAGAUAGAAUCUUAACCUCUUCAGGUUUGGAAGACUUGCUGCCAAAUCAUCCUUGAACUUCGACUGUGCAAUGUGCAGAUUUCGAAGCUCCAGCCAUUCGAGGCAUGGGAACGAUCCAUCCAGACUGAAGAACUGGAUACCACUGCAGUCUAGUUGAAGUUGUUGUAGCCGUUGAAAGCCCUUUAGCCAAGACAGGUCUUUCAUUGUCUCAUUGUUUCUGAUCGUUAAAAUUUGUAGCUGUGGCCAUUCAAGGCUUUCGGCAUUGUUUUCACCGUCUUGUACCCCGUCAAUGGUAAAGUCCUGAAGCUGUUUGGAAUUCUUAAACAUUCGCUUCCAGUCAAGUUUGAUACUCGAUUGCACGCUAAUGUCACAUCGUCUUAGAUUGACAAGUUGCCACGGGCCGGUGAAAUCGCCAAAGUCCAUGGUCUUUGCACUCAACUGCAGUUUCUCAAUGUCCACUAGUGCACCAAGGUUGUGAGGUAUUUUUAUUGUUGCACGUUUGAAGUCUAGCUUUAAAUCUCUUAGCUUGUGUAGGCUUGAAAUUCCACUCAAAUCCAUAGCCACAGCUAACUCCUUACAAGAUUCAAGCUCCAGAUGUUCGAGGCAUGGGAACGAUCCAUCCAGACUGAAGAACUGGAUACCACUGCAGUGUAUGUGAAGUUCUCGUAGCCGUUGAAAGCCCUUUAACCAAGACAGUUCUUUCAUUGUCUCAUUGUUUCUCAUCCUUAAAUAUUGGAGCUGUGGCCAUUCAAGGCUUUUGGCAUUGUUUUCAACGUCUUGUACCCCGUGAAUGACAAAGUCCUCAAGCUGUUUGGAAUUCUUAAACAUUCGCGUCCAGUCAAGUUUGAUAGUCGAUACCACCCUAAUGUGACAUCGUCUUAGAUUGACAAGUUGCCACGGGCCGGUGGAAUCGCCAAAGUCCAUGCUCUUUGCCCACAACUCCAGUUUCUCAAUGUCAGGCUGUGAGGUAUUUUUAUUGUUGCAUUGUAGAGUUUUAGCUCUAAAUGUCUUAGUAGGCUUGAAAUUCCACUCAAAUCCACAGCAAACUCCUCAUUGGACUUAAGCUCCAGCUCUUCCAAGUUGAAUAAUUGGGGCAGUAAUGCAAAGUUGAAUUUUCUGAUCUCAUUGCAUUUCAAAACCUUCAGUGAUGUCAAGCUGAAGAGCGCAUCUGGGAAUAUUGUCGUCACAAAUAAAACUCGAAGGUCAAGCACUUGAAGGUUUCUCAGCUUGGAUAUGCUCUCUGGAAUAAAACGGACCAACUUAAAGCAUCUAUUCACGCUCAAUACCUUGACAUUUUGGAUGUGAUCUAUAAUAAGACUGUCAUCCAUUACUUUACAUCCAUCGAGAAGCAAGACAUCUCGCACAUGAAUGCCAGACAAAAAGCUGCUUGUAACCUUCUUUCCAAUGAAUGAAACUUUAGAAAAUGUUGCAGAAAUCCCAGGUGGACAAUCAUAGCCAAACAGGCAUCCCUUCUCGUGCUCUUCCUGGGGUGGGUACUUCCCUUUCAAGAUUCUUAUGCACAGCUUGCGUACCAUAUCGUGCACAGUUACAAACUUAUACCAUCGAAUCUGAUUCUCGAAUCUGAAUCGAUCAUCAGUUGUCUUCACUAGGCAUCUUCGUUCCAGUUCACUAACAAUCUGCAGAGGCGAGAGUUCUGACCCAACCGCUAUCCAACAUUUUCUCAGAUCAUCAAACUCGAUUCGCCGAUCUUCUGGAAACGCAGCCACAUAGAGAAAGCACUCUUGCAGCUUUUCAUCCUUAUUAGACAGCUCGUCAUAGCUAAACUUCAAGCGCUGGAACAUCCGCUUCUCAAUGUCCCCGUCAUUCAACAAAUGCAUCUUCUGAUAGCGUUCUUCCCACACCUGCGUCCCUUCAUUCCUGUGGACAGCCAUGGCACUGCCAAUCACUUCAAGAGCUAGAGGGAGACCCUCACAUUUGCCAGCUAUUCUCUCGGCAACUUUCACAAUGUCCGGAUCACUAGGUAGUGAAUCAUAAAAGGCAAACUUCCAAAACAUCUUUUUGCUCUCGUCCUCUGAUAGCUUAUGCACAGGAAAUACCUUUGCACCCAGCUUGCUCAAAAUGUCUUCCUUUCUGGUUGUUACCAGCACCCGGCUGUAAGAGGACAGCCCUGCUAUAAAAUCCAGUCCCUUGGCCAAGCUCAUCUCCCACACAUCAUCCAGUAUCAGCAAGACACAAAUUCCACGAGCAACAUUUUGUGCCAAGUGCUGCACAUGCUCAAGGGUGCCUGCAUUUUGGGCCCUCUCUUUCAUGCCGCCCCAGUCAAGAGCGUUGAGGAGCUGGGCCCUGAGAUCAUCCUCCGAUGCAUCUUUCUUGACAGUGAUCCAUACAAUGUUGUCAUGGAAAUGCUGCCGGACCCUCUGGUCAUUGUUCACGAAGCUUGCAAGGGUGGUCUUGCCACAUCCUCCCAUUCCCAGGAGUCCAAACCAUUUCCCCGGGGCUUGUGGAUCCAGGAGGGCAUUCACCACCUCAUCCAGCUGCUCCCCAUGGCGGCCAAACAUGUCGUUGGCCUCGGGAACACCACGCCGUACAUAGUUUACGAGACCUCUGUCUUGUGGACAACUCCGUACGGAAAAGCUGGUGCUCGGCUGUAUCACUCUCAACUCUUCUCGCUCGUACCUUUCAAUGUGCGGGAGGAGAUCGUUCUCGCAAGUGCGUACCAGCUCCAAAAUCGCGCCAGAUCGCUUCUCCCUGCGCGACAGAUCCAUCUUUUAGCUCCAUUGCUUCAAACAUGAAUUCGAAUAAGCCUUACUGUGAUCCAAGCAGCGCUUGCGCCUUCUCAGUCCAUUCAGUCAGUUCAGUCAGCCACGCCUCAGCCUCACCAGAGUAGCGGAAAUCUGGAUUCCUGUGCUUGGGAGCAUUAAACUUGUCAAGCGUGGCCUGGAUUCUGGAUGCCCUCUUCUUUAGCUCCUCAAUGUGGACAUUCAGCUCAUGCUCGUGACCCUGGAUCUGCGACAGGAGAUCGCCGUAGGCACUUAAGGACUUCGCGAUCUCGUUACUCCGCUUGUACCUAUAGGAAGUGGAGAAGUUCAACCAGCUGCCUGCCAUUUGUACACACACACACACAAAAGAUAAAAUGCUACUGUACCCACCGCUUUAUGGGGCUCCAGAUCCUGUUGUCGCGUGAUCCCAAGAGUGCUUGUGCCUUGGUGUUCCAUUUCCUGACACGCUCCAAGCAUUCCUCGGCCGCUUCAGAGAACAUAAAGCCAGGUCCAUUUCGCUCCUUGUGGCGACCGAAAGCGUUGAUCUUGUCCCGGAUGUGGGGCGCCGGAUUUGUUCUCCAGCGUUUCAAUGUUGGCAUUGCAGUCCCAUACCUUCUUAGCAGGGCCCAGAGCCAAGCCACACAAGGCGCUUGCCAAGGAGCCCACAACCUCCAUGGCUGUAGACCUACAAGUAAAGGUUGUCUCCCUCCCAGAAAGAAGCGCAACAUUAACUCUUGACCUUGUAGAUCGGAAUUCUUCACUUUUUUCACAGCUGUGGCUCACUCACUCUAUGAGAUUCACAGUGAGCACCGCAACGAUCGCUACAUCGCUCGCAAAAAACACGUAAAGUACUUGUGUCUUUGGCCAAAACCCUAAACAUCGACACGCCCGAGAAGAACAUCGUCUUUUCUCUUGUACGGCGUUGAUCCAGGCGUACGGGAAUAGAGGGCUCCUCUGCCGAUCUUUGAUGGGAUCCGGGCGAUCUUGUCACCGACGUCUUGAAAGAUCUUAGAUUCUAUCCGCAAUCGCCCAGUCAAUGCGAUCCUGGCAAUGGGUGCUCCAUAUCAUUCUAUUCCCGCCCGGACGUGAUCUCCAGGAUUUGCGAAGAAGAAGGUCGUCGAUCAGAUGCGCGAUGCUGGCGCGCAAUUGAUUGGGGCUUCCCGCUACAUUUUCCCGCGCUACUUCUCCAUUCUAGGGUUCUUUCUUGGAGGCGACGUAGGUUUUCUAUUGCCCGCGUGGUCGAGGAGACGGCGCUGGGGGGCGGCCUUGAUCGGCGUUGUGGAGCUGCACAAGGUAAUGGGGCUCGACACUCCGGGUUUUAGAAAUAGGAAGAGGCUCCAGCUUAAGGCUCCGACGAGCAGUGCCAAGGCGAGGAGCCCCAGCCAGCGUUGGUAAAUCGUGGACGACAGGGAGCUCUAGAUGUACGGUGACAACAAAGGUCCCUGCGGCAAAAUGUUCCAUCGGCAGUGGAUCGCCAAAAACUCCUGCAAAAGCUGAGGCUUCUAGGACAGCAAAAAUUGCCGAGGUGAGCAAUGAUAGUGGAGCAGAGGAUUUAGAUGAUUCGGGAGUAGAAAGUGGAGCAAUCGAUGGUGGGGAAGAAGAGGUAAACAAGAUUAUGACUGGAGGAGGAAACGAUGCCGAGGUGGAAAGAACAACAGUGGUGGAGAGCUCCAUUGAGACUGUCAGGAAACAUGGCGAGGCUGUUUCUAGCGCCUUAGCUGGACUUUCAAUCAGAGGUAGUGCCUUGACCCACGGUAAUCCCGUUAAGAUGGAAGCUGGCUGUGAUUCCGUGAAAGCUGAAGCUUCGGUUUCGAUCGCAGCUGGAUGUGAUCCUACGAAAGUAGAUGGCUUGGUGAAGAUGGAAGCUGGUUGUUUUAGAUGCAGAGAGGUGGUGGCUUCUCCAAGAGACUGAAGUUGCCGGGUACUCGACGUCCAGGGGAUGCCGGAUUCGUGUUGGCGAGUUCGUGUCCUUCAAUUUUCCCAAGCCUGAAGCCGAAAGUAAGAAGAAGUUCUUCCAGCCGACUGGUGAUACCUUUGGGAAGUGCAAAAUGGCACCAGAGGCUCUUUCUCUUAUGAGCAGCAUAGUUCUCCAUUUGAGGUAGAGUUUUCUGUGUUUACCAGAGACGUUACGUAUAUGAUGUGCUUGCAGAGUUUAUAUCAACAAGUCAGAAGCCUUACGAGGAGGGGGAUGAGCGCGGAUUGAAGCUUCUGCAAGCUAUCUUGAAGCCGUUAAUGCUUCGGAGAACAAAAGAUUCAACUGAUAAAGAAGGAAGGUAAGCAUUUUUUUUCUUUGCACUGUGCCUUGUCUUGUAUUCACUCACAAGUUGGAUUCACAGACCAAUUCUUGUUCUCCAACCGGCUCAAUAUGAAGUUAUUGUAUCCAUAUCCAUAGCUAUCAUGCAGGCGUUCCUGUACGAAAUAGGAACUCAUAACUGUACCAACAAGUAAUCGGUUUCGAAUAAAUGUCGAGGAGCAGUGGAAGGAGUCGUCCAAAGUCGAGGCUCUGCUGCACCACCUCCAGACGUUAAGUGAGGCCGGGUCGAAAAGCGUUGUUUUUAGUCAGUGGACAGCGUUUCUCGACUUGUUAGAGAUACCAUUGAAAAGGUACGAGCGUCUUUCCUUUUGGUGCUUUCUCUUUGUUUGUGUUUCUAACAAUGCACUGCCAGGAAGAACUUCUGUUUCGUCCGCUUGGACGGAACGCUAUCGCAGCGUCAGCGAGAACAAGUGCUCAAAAGCUUCAGCAAUAUUCCAGCCGUGGCCGUAAGCUUUUUGUGUUUCUUACCUCCAAAAACCACUCUAUUUUGUGGACAGGUCAUGCUCAUGCUUUUCUCAUGGUACGCGCUAUAGUUUUCUUUUUUAGCCAUCUUCCGAGUCGAGAAUGUGGACGAUCGAGCAUCGGUCAGACGAAGAACGUAUCGAUCAAGCGAUUCAUCGUCAAAGUAAGCGCCACUUGAAACUCUCUUUGACGUUUCUCAUGUCUCUAGAGCAGGACUCGGUGGGGGAGAGAAUGCAACAGGUCCAAGCGAGGAAGCAGCGAUUUCGCGAGGGCUCUCACAGACGAGGUGCGAAGCGCUCGAAUCGAGGAGCUCAAAAUGCUAUUUAGAUGAGAGUCCUUAGCAACUUAUAUCAGUGUACAUAGUUAAAGAGGGGAAUAUGCUUCUAGCAUCGGCGCGUAUAUUCUUCGGAUAGUUCAAUGUAGGUUUCUUCGCGGCUAUGGCGGACAGCAGGCGAUCGCGUCGCAAGCGGCGACGAGCAAGGUAUGCAUGCUAGGAUCGCCUCGAGAAGCUGCAGCAGCGCCAGCGCCGGCGCUGCGCCGCGAUUUCGCUGGCCUAGAGCCGGAGUAGCCGAUUUCCUAGAGAUUAUGAUCUCUAGGAAAUUGAGCUGAACGCUGAGGCUUUGCAGGCGAUCGCGUCGAUUCCUCUCGUCUCCGCGGCCGGGGCGGCUAGAAAGCCGGGGCGCAUUCUAGAGUUUCGGGGUUUCUGGGGCGAUCAGUCAUGUAGCGGGCAGUGAUUCUCUCACAGAGAGCUGGAAGUCAGCCAUGACGUGGAAUCCGCCACAAGUAGCUUGUCCGCCUUGACUGCCACUACUCAGGCCGAGGAUGAACUGGGCGUGGAUGUGUCGUCUCCCAGCGGCGAUUUGCUGCUCCAUUUUCUCAAGAGCGGUGGGGGCGACGAGCAGCUGAGGAGCAGUAGCAGCUACAGGACCCAGCAGUCGCAGCUCACCGUCCCUGCCACAGCUUUGCUCCUUCUGGAGGACCUGGAGGAGGAGGAGAAGGUCCUCCUCCACGACCACUCUACGUCCCAGCAAUAAGAUUUGGUGGGUGGUCACCUCACUUCCAGCGGCACCAAGACCCACUUUUCCCUCCGGAUCCAUUCUUGACUCCGUCGGACCACUGAUUUCUACGCUCGUUUGCUCCUCUUCCCGUUCCAUCCGCCAGUGCCGUAUCCUUUUCCAAAUGCUCCGACUUUCCAGCCUGCUGAUAAUGUGGUUCAUCCGCCGCAUUCCUCUGGGGAGCUUAAAGCUCGUCCUGGCCUUCACUUCGAGUCUCCGGUGUUUGGACCCAGCGCAGCAGAGACCUCGGACUCCAAACGCGCCCCAGAGCAGUCGAGGAGAUCGGUUACACCUGCGAAGGAUGACAAGCAACAAUUCCACGGCAAUGGUUCCGAGCUCCUUCAGUUGUUACAGGGUGGUCCUGGUCGUGUGAAGCCCACAGCCUCCACAAAGGUGGAUGCUACACAGGACAGUGGGGAUUCUGGAGAGCCAUCACAGAAAGGAAGUCCAUCUGCUGUUCACGGCCCCAUAGGACCGCCGAGGCGUCAUGUCGUUUCUCCUCCGCAGAGUCCAAAUGACCUCCUUGGACGUUUGUGGGCUGCUCUUCCGUCGUCAAGCCACACUUCGUUUGACGGAGAAAGCGAACGCAAGACGUCAGCCCGGAGCUUUGGCGUUGAAGUGAACGAGAUGUCCCGGGAAGUCGAUGGAGGUGAAGCUGCUGGUUUCGCACUUUUGAAGCGAAGGGGAUCGGAGCCUGCCGCCUCGCACUACCUUUAAACGACUACGACUAUAGGACUCUAAGACAAAUGAUAAGCCGAGGACAAACUCAGCAUCCGGAAGACUACAGGACUAUCGUGGGAGAUACGUAAAUGGAGAGGCCGAAUUUGAGCCCGGAGGCGAUGACUUUCGAGGUGCGGGAACGCGUCGAGUUACCGGUCGUGCAGACGCCAGACGCGGUGGUCGGGGUGCUGUUGGCCAGUGGAUUGCGGUAAAUGAGAGGCAUAAAGAUGCUGAGCCAAGUGACAUCACCUCCUGCGAUAUCUCUGAUGGAAGGGACGAGUCGCUUAAAUCUUCAAACGGGACUUAGUCGAAUGCUCGGAGAAAACAUCAACAGGAAUGGAAGAUAAAACAGGCUGACUCAAAGUCAGCAUUUCCAGCGGAGAAAAAACAGGACUACAAGGUUCCAAAGGCACGGUCUUUGGCAUCUCAACUUGAACGUCCAGGCUUGCCAUCGGGAAGUACGCAAAACUCUUCUGUUGGUGCGGCUUUUGAGGAGUCCAAACAGAGGCUCCAUAAUCUAGAUGCUUUGGAAGGAGAAGGCGUGACGACCUCUCUAGAUCUCGAGGAGCUACAAAUUGACGGUCACCGUCGUGAGGGUAAAGCUCCACAGUUUUACAAGGUUUGUGCUUGCUUUUUUUCUUUCUUUAUUUUCAUGUGUUUGUAUCUCUGGUUACAACCGAAGGAGAACCGUUUCAGGGAGUCCAGACGCGUCAUUCCCAUGCACAGACGUGAUCUUCUUUACCGACUGGAUCUGCUGAAUUUCACUCGUGAGCUUUUCUGGCUCUACGACGAGCUUGUACCAACUGAAGAAGGGGAGGUCCGGAGAAGGAAGUUCUUCUCGAAGCUUGAGUCCCUUUUCGAGAGGGAGCUCCCGGGAACACGGCUCUUUCUUUUCGGAUCGUGUGUCAAUGCGUUUGGAGUUUGUAACAGUGACAUCGAUGUUUGCCUCUUCGUUGAUCAGGAAGAACCAAGCUGCUUGUUCAAAUGGCAACUAUCCUCGAGUCAGAUGCCAUGUUAAACGUACAGGAGGCGUAGGACUCAACGUGACUCAUGGUACCCGCUAUAGUUUCUUAUCCGAAUUCUUAGCCAUCCUCUGAUCCAGAGAACUUUCCUUUCAUUGUUCUUGGCAACAAGGUCGAUGUUGAUGGAGGGAACGAUAGAGUGGUGAGCUCUUUUGUUUCAUCUCUCGCCUCACUUUAAAGCUUGUGUGUCCAGGUUUCCGAGAAGAAAGCCAAGGCUUGGUGUGCUUCCAAGGGAAACAUUCCAUACUUUGAGGCGUCUGCCAAGGAAGACUACAACGUGGAGGCUGCGUUUCAAUGCAUUGCCAAGAAUGCCUUGACGAGCGAACCCGAGGAAGACUUGUAAGUUUUGCUUGUUUCUUCUUGUGAUGUUUCAAGCUCACAUUUAACUUUUGGCAGCAGCUAUCUUCCAGACACGAUGGACAACAACAGACGGCCAAGAUCGUCUGGCUGCGAGUGUUGAUCUACUACUACUGUCCCUCUAUCGAUAAGUGUUUUCGCUUUCAUUUUAUAUGUUUUUUUAAUUUCUUUUUAUUUUUACUCUCUCCUUUCGGUCGUUGGCCUUGGAUUUUUCCCUUCUCAAAUUUUUUUUUUCUUUUUGCUACGAAAUAAUUUUUCUUCUUCGAUGUUGUAUCUAGUUACUACUAGUAGUGCGCAAAUUCUUGUGUUUGUGUAUUAUUAAAUUUUCUUCGUUUCUAAUGGAUUGCUAGUUGACGAGAAUUGUGUCACAACAUGCCUAGAUUUUCUCGAUUCCACAAGUCUGGGUUGCAAGUAAGCAAAGGCUGUGAUUGACACUGCAUCACAAGAGUUUCCAAUCCUUGGCAGCGAUGCAACUUCGAAGCUGUGCAACCCUUUCGUUGUCUUAUUCAGCCGCCAACUUCAUUGUCCAAAAGUAUGGGGAAUGUGGCGAUGUGGAUGGCUUGCACAAACCAAACCAAUCAGGAUCGAGGGAGAUCACUACAUUGAUCUCGAAAAGUGCAUAUUCUUAAUAUUGUUAUGUUUUCCAUGUUUUACCAUUUACUCUGUACACCAGGUUUUAAAAUACUCAAAACCACGAGAGUAAAGUAAUAUCCCGAGAAUACGAUUUGUAAGGAAAAAAAGAAACUGUUUCUUCUCCAAACGCUGCUGACGCUGUGAAAACUCUGUUUUCGUUUUUUGAUGUUCUGCUUGUGAUGCAAAAUGGUGUAGCAUUUGCGCAGAUCUUCGAAAACCCAAUCGAUGUCCACUGAAGGAGCAAGGUUAUACCUCGAAGCUUAUAUGGACAUCCGGCCGCUCCUCAAGCCAUGGUGGAACUUUCGUACCUUUUUGGCAGCGUAGGACUUUGAGCCUGGGAAAUAAGCCAAGGCCGUGAUUGUCUGAACUCAAUUGGGGCCACACUACAUCAUCAUGAUCAGAGAGCACAAGUGUCUCCAAUCCUGGAAGGGAUGCAAUGGAUGAUGGAAUAUCUUCGAUCCCAUACAAGUGCACACAUCUUAAAAGAGUCAUCUGGUCUGUUGGCUCAAAGAAAUCAUUGGGGAGCUGCCUCAUACAGCCCUUCCACAAAGAUAAUGCGAACCGUUUCACCGUCAGCUGUGAUCUCUGGGUUGGCAUCAAGAGUCUCCUCAUGUAACCUUCUACAUCCAGUUCAUCAAGGUCUUUGGGGAGUUGUGUCACAAAGAGAGGCAAAUGCUCCCAUGUAUUAUCAGGAGCCAGAUAGAAUAGUAAACUCUUCAGGUUUGGAAGACUUGCGGCCAAAUCGUCCUUGAACUCGGACUGUGCAAUGUGUAGAUUUUGAAGCUCCAGAGCUUCAAGGCAUGGGAACGAUCCAUCCAGACUGAAGAACUGGAUACCACUGCAGUCUAUGUCAAGUUCCUGUAGCCGUUGAAAGCCCUUUAACCAAGACAGGUCUUUCAUUGUCUCAUUGUUUGUGAUACUUAAAAAUUGUAGUUGUGGCCAUUCAAGGCUUUCGGCAUUGUUUUCACCGUCUUGUACCCCGACAAUGGAAAAGUCCUCAAGCUGUUUGGAAUUCUUAAACAUUCGCUUCCAGUCAAGUUUGAUAGUCGAUUUCGCCCAAAUGUGACAUUGUCUUAGAUUGACAAGUUGCCACAGGCCGGUGAAAUCUGCAAAGUCCAUGCUCUUUGCCUCCAACACCAGUGUCUCAAUGUUCUUUAGUGCACCAAGGCUGUGAGGUAUUUUUAUUGUUGCACGAUAGGAGAGGUCUAGCUUUAAAUGUCUUAGCUUGUGUAGGCUUGAAAUUCCACUCAAAUCCACAGCUAACUCCUCAUUGCACUCAAGCUCCAGCUCUUCCAAGUUGAAUAAUUGGGGCAGUAAUGCAAAGUUGAAUUUUCUGAUCUCAUCGCAUUUCAAAACCUUCAGUGAUGUCAAGCUGAAGAGCGCAUCUGGCAAUUGAGGCACACUUGAACGUCGAAGGUCAAGCACUUGAAGGUUUCUCAGCUUGGAUAUGCUCUCUGGAAUAAAACGGACCAAAUUAUACCAUCCAUUCAAGCUCAAUACCUUGACAUUUUGGAUGUGAUCUAUAAUAAGACUGACAUCCACACCAGAAAUUCCAUGACAUCCAUCGAGAAGCAAGACAUCUCGCACAUGAAUAUCAGACAAAAGGCUGCUUGUAACCUUCUUUCCAAUGAAUGAAACUUUAGAAAAUGUCGGAGAAAUCCCAGGUGGACAAUCAUAGCCAAACAGGCAUCCCUUCUCGUGCUCUUCCUGGGGUGGGUACUUCCCUUUCAAGAUUCUUAUGCACAGCUUGCGUACCAUAUCGUGCACAGUUACAGACUUAUACCAUGUAGAAUCAGUUGUCUUCACUAGGCAUCUUCGUUCCAGUUCACUAACAAUCUGCAGAGGCGAGAGUUCUGACCCAACCGCUAUCCAACAUUUUCUCAGAUCAUCAAAGCGGAUUGGCCAAUCUUCUGGAAACGCAGCCACAUAGAGAAAGCACUCUUGCAGCUUUUCAUCCUUAUUAAACCGUCCCAGCUCGUCAUAGCUAAACUUCAAGUGCUGGAACAUCCGCUUCUCAAUGUCCUCGUCAUUCAACAAAUGCAUCUUCUGAUAGCGUUCUUUCCACACCUGUGGCCCCUCAUUCCUGUAGACAGCCAUGGCACUGCCAAUCACUUCAAGAGCUAAAGGGAGCCCCUCACAUUUGCUAGCUAUUCUCUCGGCAACUUUCACAAUGUCCUGAUCACUAGGUAGUGAAUCACGAAAGGCAAACUUCCAAAACAUCUUUUCGCUCUCGGCCUCUGAUAGCUCAUGCACAGGAAAUACCUUUGCACCUAGCUUGCUCAAAAUGUCUUCCUUUCUGGUUGUUACCAGCACCCGGCUGUAAGAGGACGGCCCUGCUAUAAAAUCCAGUCCCUUGGCCAAGCUCAUCUCCCACACAUCAUCCAGUAUCAGCAAGACACAAAGUCCACGAGCAACAUUUUGUGCCAAGUGCUGCACAUGCUCAAGGGUGCCUGCAUUUUGGGCCCUCUCUUUCAUGCCGCCCCAUUCAAGAGCGUUGAGGAGCUGGGCCCUGAGAUCGCCCUCCGAUGCAUCUUUCUUGACAGUGAUCCAUACAAUGUUGUCAUGGAAAUGCUGCCGGACCCUCUCGUCAUUGUGCACGAAGCUUGCAAGGGUGGUCUUGCCACACCCUCCCAUUCCCAGGAGUCCAAACCAUUUCCCCGGGGCUUGUGGAUCCAGGAGGGCAUUCACCACCUCAUCCAGCUGCUCCCCAUGGCGGCCAAACAUGUCGUUGGCCUCGGGAACACCACGCCGUACAUACUUUACGAGACCUCUGUCUUGUGGACAACUCCGUACGGAAAAGCUGGUGCUCGACUGCAUCCCUCUCAACUCUCGCUCGUACCUUUUAAUGUGCGGGAGGAGAUCGUUCUCGCAAGUGCGUACCAGCUCCGAAAUCGCGCCAGAUCGCUUCUCCCUGCGCGACAGAUCCAUCUUUUAGCUCCAUUGCUUCAAACAUGAAUUCGAAUAAGCCUUACUGUGAUCCAAGCAGCGCUUGCGCCGUCUUAGUCCAUUCAGUCAGUUCAGUCAGCCACGCCUCAGCCUCACCAGAGUAGCGGAAAUCUGGAUUCCUGUCCUUGGGAGCAUUAAACUUGUCAAGCGUGGCCUGGAUUCUGGAUGCCCUCUUCUUUAGCUCCUCAAUGUGGACAUUCAGCUCAUGCUCGUGACCUUGGAUCUGCAAUAGGAGAUCGUCGUAGGCACUUAAGGACUUCGCGAUCUCGUUACUCCGCUUGUACCUAUAGGAAGUGGAGAAGUUCAACCAGCUGCCUGCCAUUUCUACACACACACACACACAAAAGAUAAAAUGCUACUGUACCGACCGCUUUAUGGGGCUCCAGAUCGUGUUGUGGCGUGAUCCCAAGAGUGCUUGUGCCUUGGCGUUCCAUUUCCUGACACGCUCCAAGCAUUUCUCGGCCGCUUGAGAGAACGUGAAGCCAGGAUUCCGCUGCUUGUGAACACUGAAAGCGUCGAUCUUGUCCUGGAUGUGGGGCGCCUUGUUCUCCAGCGUGUCAAUGUUGGCAUUGCAGUCCCAUAUCUUCUUAGCAGGGCCCAGAGCCAAGCCACACAAGGCGCUUGCCAAGGAGCCCACAACCUCCAUGCCUGUAGACCUACAAGUAAACGUCGUCUCCCAGAACUCUUGGCCUUGGUACCCCCUCUUAAAAUGAACAGUAAUUUUCAGAGAGGUAUAAGCUGCAGUAGAGCGAGUAGUAGAGGGCCUCGUGCAGCACCCUCCCUCUUGCAAUGCCAGCUGUGGCUCUCUCUCUCUCUCUCUCUCUCUCUCUCAUUGCUCCGACAUUGUAAGUUUCUCCAGGAGAGGUAACUUUUGUCGCUUUGUUUUAGUUGCACACAGAUAGGACGCCUUCCAGCUGACUGGGCCACGUGUUUGAUUGCUUUGGGUCAGGAAAGCGUACUCUGGGUCAUUCUUCACUAUUUUUGAGACUAGAAAUGUAUAUGGUUUUAUUUUUGAACUAGGAUAGUUUAUAUGUUUUAAUAUAGUUAACACUCUGGAACUUGAUUUAUAAUAUUAAGGACAUCAAGGAUUAUUUUAAAAUUGGACUAAAACUUGAUUUUCCUUAUGGAUUUUCAACUACAUAUAAAAGAUGUACAUUCAUGUAAUUUAUUCAUAUGACAAUAUUCUUUUGAUAAGAGCAUAGGUUGUGCUGUUUAACAAACAUAUGAUGUUUUUGACUGGAACUUUUAUGAAAAAAUUCCCACACUUCAAUAAGAAAAUAAACAAAUUUAUAUUGUUUUUAUUUGCUGCAGAAUGUCCUUUUUUAAUUCUAUAUGAAUUGGGAUUGUUGGUUACAACUUCCAUACAUAUAACAUAUAAAUGUUCUAUUGCAAACAUCUUUACCACAUAUUUAAUUCUUCCUUGGAUCCUCAUAAUAUAAUCAAUUGCCACUUCUAUAGAAUUGUCUUUAUUGUUACUUUUAUAGUAGUGUCCUUAUUGUGGGCACCUUCUGGAAAUUUGUGAUAAACUACAUCCAAAACUAAAUAAAAGUAAUUCCAAACAUUGUUAUAGUAUGGCACAAUGUAAACUUCUCUAACUAGAGUAUUCAUUAGUAAGAUGCAAAUAUGAUUAAAUUGAAUAUUCCCUAAAACUAAAAUAUGAGAACCUAUGUGGUGAUAUUUCAUUAGAGUUCUUCUUAGUUCACCUACAUAGUAACUGAGAAAAAAUUAUUAACUUCUACCAAAGAAAUAGAUAGAUAGACAAUUUCUCACUAGUAGUAUUUAACACAAAUAAAGAUUUCAAUUGCACCCCUAAUCCCAACUAAGAAUAUCUUUAUAAUUUGAGUAAAAUAUAUAUCACUUGGAAAACCAUAUAGUUAUAAGCAUGAAAUAUAAUAUGAUUAUUACAAACCUACCACCAUAGUUGUGUUUUGCUUUUGCACUAUGAUCUUAGCAUGUAUUGCCACAAUUUUUAAUUCUUCCUCUUUCAUGACAUUUUCUUCAACCAAAUUAUCAUUAGGUAAACUAUUCAUCACUCAUUCCAACAUCACUAAUGACAAAUAUAAUGUUCUCUCACAAAUCAUAUCCAAACCCAUUUGCUAGAUUAUAUGGUUUUGACUUUCCCCCCAAAUCCACUCUAUUAUUUGUCAUCGUGCUAACUUAUGCAUUUUUAGUGAGAGUAAGUGUUUGCCUAUGCUUAUAGAAAGUAGAUUUGGUGAAAAAAUAACCUUUUGCUGCCCUUGUUGCAACAUAUGAUAGAUAACAAUAAUUUUUCUUUCAUUUUUGCUUUAGUUUGGUAUGAACCAUUGAGAUGUGUCAUUUUCUGGCUAAUCUAGUGAUUCCAAUCCCCAGACAAAUAUUACAAUCAACAUUACAAGGCAAACACAUUCUUGCAAAACUUGUGAAACUUAAAAAUACACGAUUAUCACAUAUCUUUUAGUGUUUUUAAUGUUGUCAACCUCGUGGUUUUUUGCUGCUUUCUUUCAAAAACAUAAUAUUGUUAUAAAUAUUUUUUUUGAGGUAUUUUUCAAGUCCUUAUUUAGCAAAUUCAUAAUGGAGGUAGAGGAGAUAAAUUGCCCAAUCCGUAAUGCUUUUUGGGAUUGGGCUUAUAAGUAACAUUUGAUAAGCAUAGAACAUAGGAAGGUUAAAGCUUUUUACUUGUUUUUAUUGAUAGAAGUUUUUUUAUUUUGGUAUCAUGCUUACUUUAGCAAAAAUCUUUAACUCUUUGAGUUAGAUAAGGAUAAUUGCUUUUCUCUAAGGCUAUAAAGGUUUUAGUGAAGAUCUUGCUUAUAUCCUUAUGCAUCUAAUGUGCCAGUUAUGUUUUUAAAUGAUUUUUUAUUUGAUUUUGGAAAUCUUUUAUUUACAAUUCUCAUAUGCACUACUAUUUUGUGUUGUUAGAGCUUACCAUUGCAUCCACAAUAACAUUAAUAUGUCUUCAAUUGAUCUUAAUAUGAUGCAAGAUAAAUGACUAUUUAAGGAUGACCUGUGAUUUGCAAAUGAUUUUGGACUUGGAAGAUGAUUGAGGUUGGGAUCGAUGGCAGAGAUGGCAUGCUGUUGUUUUAUAUUAUAGCAAGGUCCACCAACCAUGGUGCUAUUUGGCCUAUAAAGCAAUUAGAAUUAGUAAAGUGAUGUUUUUAAUUAUACAUUUUUUAAUAUAGUUAUGUGUUUGGAUUAUUAGGGUAUAAGUUGUUUGAAAGAAACUCCAUACCCUAGAAGUAAUUAAAGAGUCAAAAUAGUCUAAUGAUGCAACUAUAGAGAUAGAGCGAGCAUAAUUAGCUAAAAUCAAUAUAAGUUUGUUACUUAAUUUAUAUAUAUUUUUUACAUUUGAACUUCCCACAUGUGAGAUAGGGUUUGCAUAGUAGGGUUUAGUGGGCGGCGAGAUUGUAAAGGUGUUAAGUUUUGUAUCUGCUUAUCGUUCUAUUUGAAUUGACAAGCUGAGAUAAGGUAAGCAAUGGGUGAAAAUACACAAAGUGAAUCCCUUUUUUUUUCCUAAAAUAUUGAUGACCUUAGCAAAAUUGAAUGGACCAUUUAGCAAGGGAUUGUAUAAAUAUAUUAUGAGUGUUUGUUUGGCUAGAGUGUUGCCAAACUUCCAUAACAAAAUUGAGAGUGAUGGAUUUCUUAGAAAGGAUUAUUUCAAGCUUAACAUUCCGAUAUGGAUGAGCAUUGGAGCAAAAAAAAAGGAUGCAAUCCAAUUGACAAAGAAACUCAAGAAUCUCAAUGAUUCGUCGGAAUAGAUAUGCUAUAAAAAGCAUGCCCAAAAUAAAAGCCCUUCACGAAAACAAUAGUACCAGCCAACACUCACUUAAGAAUAAAACACACCAAAUCAAGGAUUAUAAAAAUAGCAACCAAGGUUUGCAACACCAAUUUUUAAUGUUAAAUACUCCAAGCGCUUACUAGAUUUUUUAUUAACUUUAUUUAGCAAGAAUCUACUUUAUGAGUUAUUGUAAAUCUUUCCUAACUACAAAAGAGGAUACUUCAAAUGUAAAAGGUAAGUGGAGCAAAGAACUAAGCUAAUUGAGCAAGUUUUUGAGUGUAAAUUAAAUAAUCAGUUCCUUUUGUAUUUAUGAGUUCAAAAUAAAAGAGAUCUUCAUUAUAUUGUGAUAUCAACUUCAGAAAGUAGUGGUUGCUAAAAUAGAGCAAAUAAAAGAGUUUAUAAAGUACUUGUAUGACUAGAGUGUUGUAAAUCUCCUUGCAUUUAAGUUAAAUAUGUAGAUCUUGAGUUUUUUAAGGUACAAACCAUAUUAGUUUCAAUGGAAAAAACCUCAUAGUUUUCAAUAUAACUUUUGCAAUAUCUUCAAAUAGCAAGGAUAACAAUUUUAGAUAAAUGGCAAUGAGUUAGAACUACAAUAGUUAAGAAAGUUUAUAGUGGCACACUCAUUUGAAAGUAUAAAGCCCUACGAGUGAGGAUAAUUUCACUCAUAGAUAAGGAUUUACUGGCCAAUAUAAAGGUUUUUUUCAUAUGUGAGGUAAAUUGUUUUUAGGAUGGCAUUUUAAAAUUAUGCUCAACACUAAAGAAAAAGGUAUGCACUAAUUUUAAAUUUUAAGUUCAGGAGAUGUAUUGGCCUAAGUGCAUAAAGGCCAUUGUCAUUGGCAAGGAUAAUGAAAAAAUUAUUAAAGCAGUAUUAUUUUCAAAAGAAUUUUAUAGUUUUUUAAUUUUUGUUUAUGUAGCUCUAGACUGAAUCAUAUGGCAACGGAUGUGAGGAGCAACCCCCAUACCCUACUAAACAGAAUUGAUGAAGAAAUUGAGUGUGAGAUUAUAACCAAAGAAGAAAAAGGUAAAUUUCAUAGUAUAACUUAAUUGUAUAUAUAAUAUUUUCUGGCUCUAUUUACAAAUAGAAGAACACUGAAAGUGCUUCCUUAAAUAAUGUUUUAUUAAAAUGUGGAUAAUAUUAUAAAAAAAAUUUAUUGUUUUGCAACAAUCUUCACUAAAUUUAUUUUUUUUUGCUUGUGUGUAUUAAUUAUAACUAACUUGUAUAACUUUGUAAGUGUCAUCCACAAUAGUAAAAGCUUAGCCUAUGGCCAUAAAUAUUUAUAAGGAGGUGUAUUGAUUCUUAAGCUUGUAUAUAUUAUAUAAUAUAUGAAGAAAAAGAAGUGGAAUACACUGUAAAUGCACAAAAAAAAUCAACAACUAUUAAUAAAGUAGUAUAAUAACAAAUCAAUAUAAGUAAUUUUAUUUUUUUCCACUCAAAUUUAGCAAAUACUUGCAAGAAUUUUCUAAGCUUAACAUAGCAAUUCUAAGAAAAUUAGUGGAAUUGCUCCUUGAAUUUAAGUUUUCUUUUGUUAACAUAAAGCAAUUUUAUAAAAAUGAAAACUAUAUUUACCAAUUGCCAAAUGCUUGCAAAAUUAAAACUGAACAAACCUUAAAGGACAUUGUUGAUAAGAGUGUGAAGUUUGAACAAUUGAUUAUAUUUAAAGAGGCUUGGUCCAUAAAUACUUGGGACUACACCACUAUGAUAUUAAAAAAUUAAAAUGUAAUUAAAACCAUAUCUAUAAAUAUGGUUCUAUAUAUAAAAAUUUAUAUGCAACACUAUAUCUGAAUUGUGAAUAAAAUUAUGUGAACAAAAUUGGCAAACAUUAGUUUCCAAACUAUAUAUGUAUCAGUAAACUAUAUACAAAAGUAUAUGUACAUUUAUUCUCAAAAUACAACUCAAUCAUAUUCAAAAUUAUACAAAAAGCCAUUCCUUGUGAUUGCCAAAUAGCACAUAAAUCAUGAUGAAAACUAUGUACAAAACCAUUAGUGGUUGUGGUCCCAAAACCAAUGCAUUAACAAUUAAGAAACCAGUCAUGAAACCAUUAAAAUCACAUAUGGUUUAACCACAAGCACAACCAUUUUGUUUUGGUACUAGUUAUAGUAAAAAAACCAUGUUGAUGAGCAUAUUGUGGUUGUGGUGCUAGACAACACUAUAUGGCAUGGCAUCUGGCAGCCAGAUGUCUUUCCCAUGGAGAUGAAGGCCAAAGUGUUGGAACCUUUGGUGGAUCACAGCUGGAAAAAUCAAAGUACUUGAUAAUGGAGAAGAAAAUUUGUGCACCUUGACUUGAAUCAUGAUCUGCUCCAUAAGUUGUUGUGACAGCCAUCAAGGCAAUUUUGACGCUAAAUCAUCUUUGCAACCGGCAAGAACAACAUUCUAGGAGUAGUGGCUCAAGGUGCUGUUUUAAAUAUCCUUGCAAAAUGUUUGCACUAUGCAAAACACACAAUACCCAUUCCUCAUUGAAACGCCAUCAUUUGCUCUCACUCACUUGUUUUCUUUUGCAUCUCCACUCAGUGAGCUGCUAAGCCUUAGAUUAUCAUCUGGAGGAAGUAGGGAAUUCACAGCAUAGAGUUUUGGAGUUGAAGUGUUGUUGGGAUGUUAAGUAUGAAGCUCAAAUUGCAUAUGCAUUGUAUUUUUCUGGUAUGUUGUUGUGUGGUAUUUUUUUUCCCAAUAUGUCUGUGGUACAAUGUGGCUUGGUUUUUAAGGAGUCCUCGCACUUCCUAGUCCAUUUCUCGUCACAGGGUCUUUUAGUGGUAAUAAAUUCCCACUCGAAGAUAAUAUAAGCAAGGAACUAGUGGUUUCCAGAAGCCGAGUUUAUUCGUCCCCAGUUUUUAAGUUGGAAAGUUGCAAGAGGGAGACUGCACAGGUGAUGGAAUUCUGCUGCUGUGCUCAUCAGCAAAACUUGAGCACCCGAGUUGGAUCAACCGGGGAUAAGAAACUGGGAGGCUGUAUCAAACGUCAUCCUGGCAUAUGACCAAAACGCUUAAGCAAAGAGGUUGUUUCUUUUGAUGAUUUAUCCAGAGAGUUGCUUCUCGUGUAACAUUUUGAUCAAGGGGUUUGUGGAUGCCGGGAAGCAGCAUUUGCCCUGGCAUGGCAUUUGGAAGAAGCAAAGGGUUUCGUUUGAUGCAAUGCCUCAGUAUGACGUGCUCGCAAGAAACACAAUGGUCACUCUAUUUAUACAAACAGAAAACCUUGAACACACAAAGUACAGGUUGUCUCUUUUGCAAAGUUGAAACGUUUUCUCCCAGAAAGAAGCACAAUAUUAACUCUUGGCCUUGUAGAUCGGAAUCAUACUGUUCUUCACUUUUUUCAACUCUCUCUCUCUCUCUCUCUCUCUCUCACACACACACACACACACACUAAUAGCGUUUUGAGCAGCUGUUCUUCCAUCCAGGCAUUUGCUGUUUUGGUUCAAUUUUGCUUAAACACCAGCGACCUUCACGACAUAAGAGCUAGAUUGAUUCACAGUGAGCACCACAACGAUCGCUACCUCGCCAAUCUCAUCGUCCAAAAGUAUGGGGAGCUGUGGGGUGCUCGACGGAUCAUCGCUGGCUCUUGCGGAACAUCUUGCUGGGAAAAAUCGGUUGAGCGGAGAUCCAAGAGGGAUGUGGUCGCAUGGAACUUGAUCCUCGCAGCGUAUGCCUAAAACGCUCAGUCAAAAGAGAUGUUUCUUUGGAUGAUCGAGGAAUGUUUUGAUCAAGGUGGGUUUGUGAAUGCCAUGCGAGAAAGCAGCAGUUGCCGGGACAAGGCAUUUAGAAGACGCAAAAGUUUCAAUUGACGGGAUGCCUCAACAGAAUGUGCUCGCAAGAAAAACAAUGAUCAUUCCUUGUUUUACGAACGGAGCACGCUCUUAAAGACGCGAUACGCCUGUUUGAGAGUAUGAGCAUCGUCUUGUCUCUUGUACGGCGUUGAUCCAGGCGUUUGGGAAUAGAGGGCUCCUCUGCCGAUCUUUGAUGGGAUCCGGGCGAUCUUGUCACCGACGUCUUGAAAGAUCUUAGAUUCUAUCCGCAAUCGCCGAGUCCUGGCGAUGGGUGCUGCAUAUCAUUCUGCGUGACGUGAUCUCCAGGAUUUGCGAAGAAGAAGCUCGUCGAUCAGAUGCGCGAUGCUGGCGCGCAAUUGAUUGGGGCUUCCCGCUACAUUUUCCCGCGCUAUCGUCUCUACUUCUCCAUUCUAGGGUUCUUUCUUGGAGGCGACGUAGGUUUUCUAUUGCCCGCGUGGUCGAGGAGACGGCGCUGGGGGGCGGCCUUGAUCGGCGUUCUGGAGCUGCACAGGUAAUGGGACUCGACACUCCGGGUUUUAGAAAUAGGAAGAGGCUCCAGCUUAAGGCUCCGACGAGCAGUGCCAAGGCGAGGAGCCCCAGCCAGCGUUGGUAAAUCGUGGACGACAGGGAGCUCUAGAUGUACGGUGACAACAAAGGUCCCUGCGGCAAAAUGUUCCAUCGGCUGUGGAUCGCCAAAAACUCCCGCAAAAGCUGAGGCUUCUAGGACAGCAAAAAUUCCCGAGGUGAUUGUUGAUAGUGGAGCAGAGGAUUUAGAUGAUUCGGGAGUAGAAAGUGGAGCAAUCGAUGGUGGGGAAGAAGAGGUAAACAAGAUUAUGACUGGAGGAGGAAAUGAUGCCGAGGUGGAAAGAACAACAGUGGUGGAGAGCUCCAUUGAGACUGUCAGGAAACAUGGCGAGGCUGUUUCUAGCGCCUUAGCUGGACUUUCAAUCAGAGGUAGUGCCUUGACCCACGGUAAUCCCGUUAAGAUGGAAACUGGUUGUGGUUCCGUGAAAGCUGAAGCUUCGGUUUCGAUCGCAGCUGGAUGUGAUCCUACGAAAGUAGAUGGCUUGGUGAAGAUGGAAGCUGGUUGUUUUAGAUGCAGAGAGGUGGUGGCUUCUCCAAGAGACUGAAGUUGCCGGGUACUCGACGUCCAGGGGAUGCCGGAUUCGUGUUGGCGAGUUCGUGUCCUUCAAUUUUCCCAAGCCUGAAGUCGAAAGUAAGAAGAAGUUCUUUUGACCACAAGAAGGUUCGGCCGAAAGCGAGCUCCGACAUUGUAAGGUUCUUGACAAAAGCUUCAGGAGAGGUACGUUUCACUUGACUUGUUUCUUCGUUUUAAUUCUAACCAUUUGCUCACAGAUAGGACGGCUUCCAGCCGACUGGGCCAAGUGUUUGAUACCUUUGGGAAGUGCAAAAUGGCACCAGAGGCUCUUUCUCUUAUGAGCAGCAUAGUUCUCCAUUUGAGGUAGAGUUUUCUGUGUUUACCAGAGACGUUACGUAUAUGAUGUGCUUGCAGAGUUUAUAUCAACAAGUCAGAAGCUUACGAGGAGGGGGAUGAGCGCGGAUUGAAGCUUCUGCAAGCUAUCUUGAAGCCGGUAAUGCUUCGAAGAACAAAAUAUUCAACUGAUAAAGAAGGAAGGUAAGCAUUAUUUUCUUUGCACCGUGCCUUGUCUUGUAUUCACUCACAAGUUGGAUUCACAGACCAAUUCUUGUUCUCCAACCGGCUCAAUGUGAAGUUAUUGAAUGCAAACUAUCUGAGCCUGAACGUGAUUUUUAUGAUGCCCUUUACCACAGAUCUAAGGCAUGAAGAACUUCUCUUUCUUUUAUUUUCUCUUUUUUCUGAACACGUUUUUGCUUUUGUGAUCAGGUAAAAUUCGAUCAGUUCGUUGAACAAGGCAAGUUCUUCGUUGAAAAAGCUGGCUAGAUUUUUCUUGGACAAGAAUUCCUCCCAGGUGCCUUCGACGGCGUAUGUCAAAGAGGUAUUCGUAAAGGAGAAAGUGCUGAGUGCCCAAUUUGUUCGGAGAUGCCAGAGGACGCAGUUCUUACAUCGAAUGUGCCGUGAGUGCCUAUUUAAUAGCUGGCGUACUAGCGUCGGAGGUCCCUGUCCAAUAUGCAGGUAACAUUUUUUUUUUUUUUUCGAGAGCUCUUUUCCAUAUCCAUAGCUAUCAUGCAGGCGUUCCUGUACGAAAAAGGAACUCAUAGCUGUACCAACAAGUAAUCGGUUUCGAAUAAAUGUCGAGGAGCAGUGGAAGGAGUCGUCCAAAGUCGAGGCUCUGCUGCACCACCUCCAGACGUUAAGUGAGGCCGGGUCGAAAAGCGUUGUUUUUAGUCAGUGGACAGCGUUUCUCGACUUGUUAGAGAUACCAUUGAAAAGGUACGAGCGUCUUUCCUUUUGGUGCUUUCUCUUUGUUUGUGUUUCUAACAAUGCACUGCCAGGAAGAACUUCUGUUUCGUCCGCUUGGACGGAACACUAUCGCAGCGUCAGUGAGAACAAGUGCUCAAAAACUUCAGCAAUAUUCCAGCCGUGGUGGCCGUAAGCUUUUUGUGUUGCUUACCUCCAAGAAACCACUCUAUUUUGUGGUCAUGCUCAAGCUUUUCUCAUGGUACGCGCUAUAGUUUUCUUUUUUAGCCAUCUUCCGAGUCGAGAAUGUGGACAAUCGAGCAUCAGUCAGACGAAGAACGUAUCGCUCAAGUGAUUCAUCGUCAAAGUAAGCGCCACUUGAAACUCUCUUUGACGUUUCUCAUGUCUCUAGAGCAGGACUCGGUGGAGGAGAGAAUGCAACAGGUCCAAGCGAGGAAGCAGCGAUUGAUCGCGGGGGCUCUCACAGACGAAGAGGUGCCAAGCGCUCGAAUCGGAGAAGAACUGGAGUCCUUAGCAUUUUUUUAACUUAUAGUUAAAGAGGGGAAUAUGCUUCUAGCGUCGGCGCGUAUAUUCUUCGGAUAGUAGGGGUACAAGCAUUUCUAGGUUUCUUCGCGGCUAUGGCGGACAGCGAAGGAGCAGGCGAUCGCGUCGCAAGUGCGUUUGAUUCCGGCAGCAUCGGCGACGAGCAAGGUGCAUGCUAGGAUCGCCUCGGGAAGCAGCAGCAGCGCCGGCGCCGGCGCCGCGCCGCGAUUUCGCUGGCCUAGAGCCGGAGUAGCCGAUCUAGAUUCAUGCAAGCAUAUGAUCUCUAGGAAAUUGAGCUGAACGCUGAGGCUUUGCAGGCGAUCGCGUCGAUUCCUCUCGUCUCCGCGGCCGGGGCGGCUAGAAAGCCGGGGCGCAUUCUAGAGUUUCGGGGUUUCUGGGGCGAUCAGUCAUGUAGCGGGCAGUGAUUCUCUCACAGGAGCUGGAAGUCAGCCAUGACGUGGAAGCAGUAGCAGCUACAGGACCCAGCAGUCGCAGCUCACGGUCCCUGCCACAGCUUUGCUCCUUCUGGAGCACCUGGAGGAGGAGGAGAAGGUCCUCCUCCACGACCACUCUACGUCCCAGCAACAAGAUUUGGUGGGUGGUCACCUCACUUCCAACGGCACCAAGACGCAGAGUCCAAAUGACCUCCUUGGACGUUUGUGGGCUGCUCUUCCGUCGUCAAGCCACACUUUGUUUGACGGAGAAAGCGAACGCAAGACGUCAGCCCGGAGCUUUGGCGUUGAAGUGAACGAGAUGUCCCGGGAAGUCGAUGGAGGUGGAGCUGCUGGUUUCGCACUUUUGAAGCGAAGGGGAUCGGAGCUUGCCGCCUCGCACUACCUUUAAACGGCUACGACUAUAACGACUCUAAUAAGCCGAGGACAAACUCAGCAUCCGGAAGACUACAGGACUAUCGUGGGAGAUACGUAAAUGGAGAGGCCGAAUUUGAGCGCGGAGGCGAUGAGGUCGAGGUACCGGUCGUGCAGACGCCAGACGCGGUGCUCGGGGUGCUGUUGGCCAGUGCAUUGCGGUAAAUGAGAGGCAUAAAGAUGCUGAUCCAAGUGACAUCACCUCCUGCGAUAUCUCUGAUGGAAGGGACGAGUCGCUUAAAUCUUCAAACGGGUCUCAGUCGAAUGCUAGGAGAAAACAUCAACAGGAAUGGAGGAUAAAACAGGCUGACUCAAAGGCAGCAUUUCCAGCGGAGGAAAAACCGGACUACAAGGUUGCAAAGGCACGGUCUUUGGCAUCUCAACUUGAACGUCUAGGCUUGCCAUCGGGAAGUAUGCAAAACUCUUCCGUUGGCGCGGCUUUUGAGGAGUCCAAACAGAGGCUCCAUAAUCUAGAUGCUUUGGAAGGAGAAGGCGUGACGACCUCUCUAGAUCUCGAGGAGCUACAAAUUGACGGUCACCGUCGUGAGGGUAAAGCUCCACAGUUUUACAAGGUUUGUGCUUGCUUUUUUUCUUUCUCUAUUUUCAUGUGUUUGUAUCUCUGGUUACAGCCGAAGGAGAACCGUUUCAGGACCUCUGAAGAACUAAAGGUAUGCAUAUGCAUAUUCUUAAUAUUGUUAUGUUUUCCAUGUUUUACCAUUUACUCUAUACACCAGAUUUUAAAAUACUCAAAACCACGAGAGUAAAGUAAUAUCCUGAGAAUACGAUUUGUAAGAAAAACAGAAACUGUGUCUUCUCCAAACGCUGCUGACGGCUUGGAAAUCUCUGUUUUUGUUUUUUGAGUGAUGCAAAAUAGUGUAGCAUUUGCGCAGAUCGAGAACCCAAUCGAUGUCCACUGAAGGAGCAAGGUUUAAUCCCAGAAUGUUAUCUGGAGAUCCGGCCGCUCCUCAAGCCAUGGUGGAACUUUCGUACCUUUUUGGCAGCAUAGGACUUUGAGCCUGGGAAAUAAGCCAAGGCCGUGAUCGUCUGAACUCAAUUGGGGCCACACUACAUCAUCAUGAUCAGCGAGCUCAAGAACCUCCAAUCCUGGAAGGGAUGCAAUGGAUGAUGGAAUAUUUUCGAUCGUAAACAAGGUUACACCUCUUAGAGCAGUCAUCUGGUCUGUUGGCUCAAAGAAAUCAUUGGGGAGCUGCCUCAUACAGCUCAAAAAUAAUGUGAACCGUUCCACCUUCAGCUGUGAUCUCUCGGUUGGCAUCAAGAGUCUCCUCAUGUAACCUUGUACAUGCAGCAAAUCAAGGUCAUUGGGGAGUUGUGUCACAAAGAGAGGCAAAUGCUCCCAUGUAUUAUCAGGAGCCAGAUAGAAUGUUAAACUCUUCAGGUUUGGAAGACUUGCUGCCAAAUCAUCCUUGAACUCCGACUGUGCAAUGUGCAGAUUUUGAAGCUCCAGCCAUUCGAGGCAUGGGAACAAUCCAUCCAGACUGAAGAACUGGAUACCACUGCAGUCUAUGUAAAGUUCUUGUAGCCGUUGAAAGCCCUUUAGCCAAGACAGGUCUUUCAUUGUCCCCAUCCUUAAAUAUUGGAGCUGUGGCCAUUCAAGGGUUUCGGCAUUGUUUUCACCGUCUUGUACCCCGUCGAUUGAAAAGUGCUGAAGCUGGUUGGAAUUCUUAAACAUUCGCUUCCAGUCAAGUUUGAUAGUCGAUUCCACAUAAAUGUGACAUCGUCUUAGAUUGACAAGUUGCCACGGGCCUGUGAAAUCGCCAAAGUCCAUGCUCUUUGCACGCAACUCCAGUUUCUCAAUGUGCACUAGUGCACCAAGGCUGUGAGGUAUUUUUAUUGUUGCCUUGUGGAGGCCUAGCUCUAAAUGUCUUAGCUUGUGUAGGCUUGAAAUUCCACUCAAAUCCACAGCUAACUCCUUACCGAAUUGAAGCUUCAGCUCUUCCAAGUUGAAUAAUUGGGGCAGUAAUGCAAAGUUGAAUUUUGUGGUAUCAUCGCAUUUCAAAACCUUCAGUGAUGUCAAGCUGAAGAGCGCAUCUGGGAAUAUUGUCACACUUGAACAGGACACGCUUGAAUAUCGAAGGUCAAGCACUUGAAGGUUUCUCAGCUUGGAUAUGCUCUCUGGAAUAAAACGGACCAAAUUAUAGCUUUCAUUCAAGCUCAAUACCUUGACAUUUUGGAUGUGAUCUAUAAUAAGACUGACAUCCACACCAGAAAUUCCAUAACAUCCAUCGAGAAGCAAGACAUCUCGCACAUGAAUGUCAGACAAAAGGCUGCUUGUAACCUUCUUUCCAAUGAAUGAAACUUUAGAAAAUGUUGGAGAAAUCCCAGGUGGACAAUCAUAGCCAAACAGGCAUCCCUUCUCGUGCUCUUCCUGGGGUGGGUACUUCCCUUUCAAGAUUCUUAUGCACAGCUUGCGUACCAUAUCGUGCACAGUUACAUACUUACGCCAUUGAUCAUCAGUUGUCUUCACUAGGCAUCUUCGUUCCAGUUCACUAACAAUCUGCAGAGGCGAGAGUUCUGACCCAACCGCUAUCCAACAUUUUCUCAGAUCAUCAAAGUGGAUUGGCCAAUCUUCUGGAAACGCAGCCACAUAGAGAAAGCACUCUUGCAGCUUUUCAUCCUUAUUAGACAGCUCGUCAUAGCUAAACUUCAAGCGCUGGAACAUCCGCUUCUCAAUGUCCCCGUCAUUCAACAAAUGCAUCUUCUGAUAGCAUUCUUUCCACACCUGCGGCCCUUUGUUCCUGUAGACAGCCAUGGCACUGCCAAUCACUUCAAGAGCUAAAGGGAGCCCCUCACAUUUGCUAGCUAUUCUCUCGGCAACUUUCACAAUGUCCGGAUCACUAGGUAGUGAAUCAUAAAAGGCAAACUUCCAAAACAUCUUUUUGCUCUCGUCCUCUGAUAGCUCAUGCACAGGAAAUGCCUUUGCACCCAGCAUGCUCAAAAUGCCUUCCUUUCUGGUUGUUACCAGCACCCGGCUGUAAGAGGACGGCCCUGCUAUAAAAUCCAGUCCCUUGGCCCAGCUCAUUUGCCACACAUCAUCCAGUAUCAGCAAGGCACGAAUUCCACGAGCAACAUUUUGUGCCAAAUGCUGCACAUGCUCAAGGGUGCCUGCAUUUUGGGCCCUCUCUCUCAUGCCGCCCCAUUCAAGAGCAUUCAGGAGCUGGGCCCUGAGAUCGUCCUCCGAUGCAUCUUUCUUGACAGUAAUCCACACAAUGUUGUCAUGGAAAUGCUGCCGGACCCUCUGGUCAUUGUUCACGAAUCUUGCAAGGGUGGUCUUGCCACACCCUCCCAUUCCCAGGAGUCCAAACCAUUUCCCCGGGGCUUGUGGAUCCAGGAGGGCAUUCACCACCUCAUCCAGCUGCUCCCCAUGGCGGCCAAACAUGUCGCUGGGCUCGGUAACACCAUGCCGUACAUAGUUUACGAGACCUCUGUCUUGUGGACAACUCCGUACGGAAAAGCUGGUGCUCGGCUGUAUCACUCUCAACUCUUCUCGCUCGUACCUUUCAAUCUGCGGGAGGAGAUCGUUCUCGCAAGUGCGUACCAGCUCCGAAAUCGCGCCAGAUCGCUUCUCCCUGCGCGACAGAUCCAUCUUUUAGCUCCAUUGCUUCAAACAUGAAUUCGAAUAAGCCUUACUGUGAUCCAAGCAGCGCUUGCGCCCUCGCAGUCCAUUCAGUCAGUUCAGUCAGCCACGCCUCAGCCUCACCAGAGUAGCGGAAAUCUGGAUUCUUGUGCUUGGGAGCAUUAAACUUGUCAAGCGUGGCCUGGAUUCUGGAUGUCUUCUUUAGCUCCUCAAUGUGGACAUUCAGCUCAUGCUCGUGACCCUGGAUCUGCGACAGGAGAUCGCCGUGGGCACUUAAGGACUUCGCGAUCUCGUCACUCCGCUUGUACCUAUAGGAAGUGGAGAAGUUCAACCAGCUGCCUGCCAUUUCUACACACACACACACACAAAAGAUAAAAUGCUACUGUACCGACCGCUUUAUGGGGCUCCAGAUCCUGUUGUGGCGUGAUCCCAAGAGUGCUUGUGCCUUGGUGUUCCAUUUCCUGACACGCUCCAAGCAUUCCUCGGCCGCUUGAGAGAACAUAAAGCCAGGUCCAUUUCGCUCCUUGUGGUGAUCGAAAGCGUUGAUCUUGGCCUGGAUGUGGUGCGCCUUGUUCUCCAGCGUUUCAAUGUUGGCAUUGCAGUCCCAUAUCUUCUUAGCAGGGCCCAGAGCCAAGCCACACAAGGCGCUUGCCAAGGAGCCCACACCCUCCAUGCCUGUAGACCUACAAGUAAAGGUCGUCUCCCAGAACUCCUGGCCUUGGUAUCCCCUUUUAAAAUGGACAGUAAUUUUCAGAGAGGUAUAAGCUGUUACAAAGGUAAAUUGGAGUUGACUGCUUGCAGUAGAGCGAGUAGAGGACCUCGUGCAGCACCCUCCCUCUUGCAAUGCCAGCUGUGACCAAUUGGAGUUGAUUGCUUGCAGUAGAGGGCCUCGGGCAGCACCCUCCCUCUUGCAAUGCCUCUCUCUCUCUCUCUCUCUCUCUCUCUCUCUAAGAAGAAGACCUUUGAGCACAUGGGCUCGUCUGAAAGCAUGCUCCGACAUUGUAAGUUUCUCCAGGAGAGGUAACUUUUGUCGCUUUGUUUAGGACGCCUUCCAGCUGACUGGGCCACGUGUUUGAUUGCUUUGGGUCAGGAAAACGUACUCUGGGUCAUCGUUCACUAUUUUUGAGACGAGAAAUGUAUAUGGUUUAUUUUGUAAUGGAAAACAAUAUACUUUUGAACUAGGAUAGUUUAUAUGUUUUAAUAUAGUUAACACUUUGGAACUUGAUUUAUAAUAUUAAGGACAUCAAGAAUUAUUUUAAAAUUGGACUGAAACUUGGUUUUCUUUAUGGAUGACAUUGUAGUUGAUGAUUUCAUGAAUAAUAGACCAAUGAGAAUGGGAAGUGUGUUAUCUUCCUUCCAAAACCCAUUUUCAAAUUACAUAUAAAAGAUGUACAUUCAUGUAAUUUAUCUGUGACAAUAUUCUUUUGAUAAGAGCAUAAGUUGUGUCAUUUAACAAACAUAUGAUGUUUUUAACUGGAACUUUUAUGAAAAAAUUCCCACACUUCAGUAAAAAAAAAAAAAACAAAUUUAUAUUAUUCUUAUUUGCUGCUGAAUGUCCUCUAUUAAUUCUAUAUGAGUUGGGAUUGUUGAUUACAACUUCCAUCCAUAUGACAUAUAAAUGUUCUAUUGCAAACACCUUUACCACAUAUUUAAUUCUUCUUUGGAUCCUCAUAAUAUAAUCAAUUGCCACUUCUAUAGGAUUGUCUAUUCUUACUUCUAUAAUAUUGUCUUUAUUGUGGGCACGUUUUGGAAAUUUGUGAUAAACUACAUCCAAAACUAAAUAAAAGUUUGUUAUAGUAUGGCACAAUGCAAACUUCUCUAACUAGAGCAUCCAUUAGUAAGAUGCAAGUAUGAUUAAAUUGAAUAUUCUCUAAAACUAGAAUAUAAGAACCUAUGUGGUGAUAUUUCAUUAGAGUUCUUCUUGGUCCACCUGCAUAGUAACUGAGAAAAAUCAUUAGUUUCUACCAAAGAAAUAGAUAGAUAGACAAUUUCUCACUAAUAGUAUUUAACACAAAUAAAGACUUCGAUUGCCUCUCUAAUCCCAACUAAGAAUAUCUUUAUAAUUUGAGUAAAACAUAUAUCACUUGGAAAACCAUACAAUUAUAAGUAUGACAUAUAAUAUGAUUAUUACAAACUUACCACCAUAGUUAUGUUUUGCUUUUGCACUAUGGCCCUAGCAUGUAUAACCACAAUUUUUAAUUCUUCCUCCUCCAAGACAUUUUCUUCAACCAAAUUAUCAUUAAGUAAACUAUCCAUCACUACCUCCAACAUCACUUGUGACAAAUAUAAUGUUCUUCCAUAAAUCAUAUCCAAACCCAUUUACUGGAUUAUAUAGUUUUUACUUUCCCUCUAAAUCCACUCUAUUAUUUUCUAUUGUGCUAACUUGUGCAUUUUUAGUGAGAAUAAGUGUUUACCUAUGGUUAUAAAAAGUAGAUUUGGUGAAAAAAUAACCUUUUGGUGCUUUUGUUGCAACACAUAAUAGACAACAAUAAUUUUUCUUUCUUUUUUGCUUUGGUUUGGUAUAAACUAUUGAUAUGUGCCAUCUUUUGGCUAACCUAGUGAUUUCAAUCCUUACAUAAGUAUUGCAACAAACAUUACAAGGCAAACACACUUUUGCAAAACUUGUGAAAUUUAAAAAUACACAAUUAUCACAUAUCUUUUAGUGUUUUUAAUGUUGUCAUCCUUGUGGUUUUUUGCUGCUUUCUUUCAAAAAUAUAAUAUUGUUACAAAUAUUUUUUUUGAGGUAUUUUUUAAGUCCUUAUUUAGCAAAUUCAUGAUGGAGGUAAAGAAGAUAAAUUGCCCAAUCCGUGAUGCUUUUUGGGAUUGAGCUCAUAAGUAACGUUUGAUAAAUAUAAAACAUAGUAAGGUUAAGGCUUUGUACUUAUUUUUAUUGAUAUAAGUUUCUUUAUUUUGGUAUCAUGCUUAUUUUAACAAAUUUUUUUGACUCUUUGAGUUAAGUAAGGAUCAUUUGCUCUUCUCUAAUGCUAUAAAGGUUUUAGUAAAGAUCCAGCUCAUAUCCUUGUGCAUCCAAUGUGCCAACUAUGUUUUUAAGUGAUUUUUAUUUGGUUUUGGAAAUCUUUUAUCUACAAUUCACAUAUACACUACUAUAUGUGUUGCUAGAGCUUACCAUUGCAUCCACAAUAACAUUAACAUGUCUUUAAUUGAUCUUGACAUGAUGCAAACUAAAUGACUGUAUUCAAGAAUGCCCUAUGAUUUGCAAAUGAUUUUGGACUUGGAAAAUGGUUGAGGUUGUGAUUGGUGGCAUAGUUAGCAUGCUGUUGUUUUACAUUAUAAUAAGGUCCACUCACUAUAGUGCUAUUUUGCUUGCAAAGCAAUUAAAACUAGUAAAGUGAUGUUUUUAAUUAUACAUUUUUAAAAAUAUUUAUGUAUUUUGAUUAUUAGGAUAUAAGUUGUGGCUUGAUUUUAGAAGAAACUCCAUACCCCAGAAGUAAUUUAAGAAGAAAAAUAGUCCAAUAAUGCAAUUAUGGAGAUAGAAAGUCUCUCUAGAGAGACCACAAUAUUAGAUAUGGUAACAAAUAAAUUUGAUUUUAGAGAAAGUGAAGCAGAAGUUUUUAGUGCACAUAGUUAUAAUAGCAUAAUUAGUUAAAAUCAAUAUAGGUUUGUUAAUCAAUUUAUAUACAUUUGAACUUCCCACGUAUGAGCUAAGGUUUGCAUAGUAGAGUUUAGUGGGUGGCAAGAUUGUAGAGAUGCUAAGUUUUGUAUCUUUCCAUUGUUGUAGUUAAAUCGACGAGUUGAGAUAAGGUAAGUAAUGGGUAAAAAUACAUAAAGUGAAUCCUUUUUUUUUCUUUAAAUGUUUAUGACCCUAGCAAGAUUGAAUGAACCAUCUAGCAAGGGAUUGUGUAAAUAUAUUGAGAGUGUUUAUUUAGCUAGAGUGUUGCCAAACUUCAUUAACAAGAUUAAGAGUGAUGGAUUUUUUAGAGAGGACUAUUUCAAACUCAACAUUUUGAUAUGGAUGAGCAUUGGAGCAAAAAUGGGGGAUGCAAUCCAAAUGACAAAGACACUCAAGAAUCUCAAUGAUUCAUCGGAGUAGGUAUGCAAUAAAAGGCAUGCCCAAAAUAAAAGCCCUUUACGAAGACAAUAGUGCGAGCUAACACCCACUCAAAAACAAAACACACCAAGUCAAGGAUUAUAAUAGUGGCAACUAAGGUUUGCAACACCAAUUUUCAAUGUUAAAAAAUACUCCAAGCGCUUACUAAAUUUCCCAUUAGCUUUAUUUGGCAAGAAUUUACUUUAUGAGUUAUUAUAAAUCUUUCCUAACUACAAAAAAGGAUACUUCAAAUGUGAAAGGCAAGUGGAGCAAAGAAUUAAGCUCAAUCAAAAGAGGAUACUUCAAAUGUAAAAGGAAAGUGGAGCAAAGAACUAAGUUAAUUAAGUCAGUUCAUGAGUGCAAAUUGGAUAACCAUGCCUUUUGUGUUUGUGAGUUCAAGAUAAAAAAGAUCUUCAUUGUAUUGCGGUAUCAACUUAAAAAAGCAGUGGUUGUUAAAAUAGAGCAAAUAAAAGUGUUUAUAAAAUACUUAUAUGACUAGAGUGUUAUAGAUCUCCUUGCAUUUAAGUCAAAUAUGAGGUUGGUAUUGAUAGAUCUUGAGUUUUUUAAGGUACAAACCAUAUUAGUUUCAAUGGAAAAAACCUCAUAGUUUUAAAUAUGGCUUUUGCAAUAUCUUCAAAUAGUAAGGAUAAAAAUUUUAAAUAAAUGGCAAUGAGAAAACUACAAUAGUUAAGAAAGUUUAUAGUGGCACACUCAUUUAAAAGUAUAAAUCCCUACGAGUGAGGAUAAUUUCACUUAUAGAUAAGGAUUUAUUGGCCAAUAUAAAGAUUUUUUUUGCAUGUGAGGUAAAUCUUUUUUAGGAUGACAUUUUAAAAUUAUGCUCAACACUAAAGAAAGAAGUAUGCACUAAUUUUAAAUUUUAAGUUCAGAAGAUGUUUUGGCCUAAGUGCAUAAAGGCCAUUGUCAUUGGUAAGGAUAAUGAAAAAACUAUUAAAGAGGUAUUCUUUUAAAAAUGAUUUUAUAGUUUUUAAUUUUUGUUUGUGCAGCUCCAGACUAAAUCAUAUGGCAACGGAUGUGAGGAGCAACCCCUAUACCCUACUAAACAAGAUUGAUGAAGAUAUAGAGUGUGAGAUUAUAACUAAAGAAAAAAAAUGUAAAUUUCAUAGUAUAACUUAAUUGUAUAUAUUGUCUAAUAUUUUUUGGCUCUAUUUACAAGUAGAAGAACACCUAAAGUGCUUCUAUAAAUAAUUUUUUAUUAAAAUAUAGAUAAUAUUAUAAAAAAAUCUCAUUAUUUUGCAACAAUCUUCACUAAAAAUUGUUGCUUUUUAACUUUUGUGUAUUAACUGUAACUAAUUUAUAUGACUUUGUAACUUUCAUCCAUAAUAGUAGAAGUUCAACUAAUAGCCACAAAUAUUUAUAAGGAGGUUUAAGCUUGUAUAUAUUAUAUAAUAUAACUUUAUUUAUUUUUUUAGUUAACAUUAGCAAAAUUACGAAAAAACAAAAGAGUCCAGAUAAAUGAUAAGAUUACUCUUCCUGUGUAUGAGGCAAAAGAAGUGGAAUACACUAUAAAGGCAUAAAAAGAAUCAACAACUAUUAAUAAAGUAAUAUAAUAACAAAUUAAUAUAAUUAGUUUUAUUUUUUUCACUCAAACUUAGCAAAUACUUGCAAAAAAUUUUUAAACUAAACAUAGUAAUUCUAGAAAAUUAGUGAAAUUGCUCUUUGAAUUUAACCUUUCUUUUGCUAACAUGAAGUAAUUCUAUAAGAAUGAGAACCAUAUUUAUAAGUUGCCAAAUGCCCACAAAAUUAAAACUGAGUAAACCUUAAAGAAUAUUGUUGAGCAAAGUGUGAAGUUUGAAUAACUGAUUAUAUCUAAAGAGGCCUUAUCCAUAAAUACUUGGAUUACAUUAAAAAAUUAAAAUGUAAAUAAAACCAUAUCUAUAAAUAUGGUUCUAUAUAUAAAAAUUUAUAUGCAACACUAUAUUUGAAUUAUGAAUAAAAUUAUGUGAACAAAAUUGGCAAACAUUAGUUUCCAAACUAUAUAUGUAUCAGUAAACUAUAUACAAAAGUAUAUGUCCAUUUAUUCUCAAAAUACAACUCAAUCAUAUUCAAAAUUAUACAAAAAGCCAUUCCUCGUGAUUGCCAAAUAGCACAUAAAUCAUGAUGAAAACUAUGUACAAAACCAUUAGUGGUUGUGGUCCCAAAACCAAUGCAUUAACAAUUAAGAAACCAGUCAUGAAACCAUUAAAAUCACAUAUGGUUUAACCACAAACACAACCAUUUUGUUUUGGUACUAGUUAUAGUAAAAAAACCAUGUUGAUGAGCAUAUUGUGGUUGUGGUGCUAGACAACACUAUAUGGCAUGGCAUCUGGCAGCCAGAUGUCUUUCCCAUGGAGAUGAAGGCCAAGGUGUUGGAACCUUUGGUGGAUCACAGCUGGAAAAAUCAAAGUACUUGAUAAUGGAGAAGAAAAUUUGUGCACCUUGACUUGAAUCAUGAUCUGCUCCACAAGUUGUUGUGACAGCCAUCAAGGCAAUUUUGACGCUAAAUCAUCUUUGCAACCGGCAAGAACAACAUUCUAGGAGUAGUGGCUCAAGGUGCUGUUUUAAAUAUCCUUGCAAAAUGUUUGCACUAUGCAAAACACACAAUACCCAUUCCUCAUUGAAACGCCAUCAUUUGCUCUCACUCACUUGUUUUCUUUUGCAUCUCCACUCAGUGAGCUGCUAAGCUUCCUUAGAUUAUCAUCUGGAGGAAGUAGGGAAUUCACAGCAUAGAGUUUUGGAGUUGAAGUGUUGUUGGGAUGUUAAGUAUGAAGCUCAAAUUGCAUAUGCAUUGUAUUUUUCUGGUAUGUUGUUGUUGUGGUAUUUUUUUUCCCAAUAUGUCUGUGGUACAAUGUGGCUUGGUUUGUAAGGAGUCCUCGCACUUCCUAGUCCAUUUCUCGUCACAGGGUCUUUUAGUGGUAAUAAAUUCCCACUCGAAGAUAAUAUAAGCAAGGAACUAGUGGUUUCCAGAAGCCGAGUUUAUUCGUCCCCAGUUUUUAAGUUGGAAAGUUGCAAGAGGGAGACUGCACAGGUGAUGGAAUUCUGCUGCUGUGCUCAUCAGCAAAACUUGAGCACCCGAGUUGGAUCGACCGGGGAUAAGAAACUGGGAGGCUGUAUCAAACGUCAUCCUGGCAUAUGACCAAAACGCUUAAGCAAAGAGGUUGUUUCUUUUGAUGAUUUAUCCAGAGAGUUGCUUCUCGUGUAACAUUUUGAUCAAGGGGUUUGUGGAUGCCGGGAAGCAGCAUUUGCCCUGGCAUGGCAUUUGGAAGAAGCAAAGGGUUUCGUUUGAUGCAAUGCCUCAGUAUGACGUGCUCGCAAGAAACACAAUGGCCACUCUAUUUAUACAAACAGAAAACCUUGAACACACAAAGUACAGGUUGUCUCUUUUGCAAAGUUGAAAGGUUUUCUCCCAGAAAGAAGCACAAUAUUAACUCUUGGCCUUGUAGAUCGGAAUCAUACUGUUCUUCACUUUUUUCAACUCUCUCUCUCUCACACACACACACUAAUACCGUUUUGAGCAGCUGUUCUUCCAUCCAGGCAUUUGCUGUUUUGGUUCAAUUUUGCUUAAACACCAGCGACCUUCACGACAUAAGAGCUAGAUUGAUUCACAGUGAGCACCACAACGAUCGCUACCUCGCCAAUCUCAUCGUCCAAAAGUAUGGGGAGCUGUGGGGUGCUCGACGGAUCAUCGCUGGCUCUUGCGGAACAUCUUGCUGGGAAAAAUCGGUUGAGCGGAGAUCCAAGAGGGAUGUGGUCGCAUGGAACUUGAUCCUCGCAGCGUAUGCCUAAAACGCUCAGUCAAAAGAGAUGUUUCUUUGGAUGAUCGAGGAAUGUUUUGAUCAAGGUGGGUUUGUGAAUGCCAUGCGAGAAAGCAGCAGUUGCCGGGACAAGGCAUUUAGAAGACGCAAAAGUUUUAAUUGACGGGAUGCCUCAACAGAAUGUGCUCGCAAGAAAAACAAUGAUCAUUCCUUGUUUUACGAACGGAGCACGCUCUUAAAGAUGCGAUACGCCUGUUUGAGAGUAUGAGCAUCGUCUUGUCUCUUGUACGGCGUUGAUCCAGGCGUUUGGGAAUAGAGGGCUCCUCUGCCGAUCUUUGAUGGAAUCCGGGCGAUCUUGUCACCGACGUCUUGAAAGAUCUUAGAUUCUAUCCGCAAUCGCCCAGUCAAUGCGAUCCUGGCGAUGGGUGCUGCAUAUCAUUCUGCGUGACGUGAUCUCCAGGAUUUGCGAAGAAGAAGGUCGUCGAUCAGAUGCGCGAUGCUGGCGCGCAAUUGAUUGGGGCUUCCCGCUACAUUUUCCCGCGCUAUCGUCGCUACUUCUCCAUUCUAGGGUUCUUUCUUGGAGGCGACGUAGGUUUUCUAUUGCCCGCGUGGUCGAGGAGACGGCGCUGGGGGGCGGCCUUGAUCGGCGUUGUGGAGCUGCACAGGUAAUGGGGCUCAACACUCCGGGUUUUAGAAAUAGGAAGAGGCUCCAGCUUAAGGCUCCGACGAGCAGUGCCAAGGCGAGGAGCCCCAGCCAGCGUUGGUAAAUCGUGGACGACAGGGAGCUCUAGAUAUACGGUGACAACAAAGGCCCCUGCGGCAAAAUGUUCCAUCGGCAGUGGAUCGCCAAAAACUCCUGCAAAAGCUGAGGCUUCUAGGACAGCAAAAGUUGCCGAGGUGAGCAAUGAUAGUGGAGCAGACGAUUUAGAUGAUUCGGGAGUAGAAAGUGGAGCAAUCGAUGGUGGGGAAGAAGAGGUAAACAAGAUCAUGACUGGAGGAGGAAACGAUGCCGAGGUGGAAAGAACAACAGUGGUGGAGAGCUCCAUUGAGACUGUCAGGAAACAUGGCGAGGCUGUUUCUAGCGCCUUAGCUGGACUUUCAAUCAGAGGUAGUGCCUUGACCCACGGUAAUCCCGUUAAGAUGGAAGCUGGUUGUGGUUCCGUGAAAGCUGAAGCUUCGGUUUCAAUCGCAGCUGGAUGUGAUCCUAUGAAAGUAGAUGGCUUGGUGAAGAUGGAAGCUGGUUUUGAGUCUGCAAGAGUCGAAGCUCCGGUUGGCUCAGUGAAGAUGGAACCUGGUUAUGAUACUGUGAAAGUUGAAACUCCAUUCGGGGGUGGUAAAGCUGCCCAUUUGUGUGAAGCGAAGGUGGUUCCAAUAGAAAAUGACACGGCUAAAGCUGCAGAGAAGCAACCGGUUGUUUUAGAUGCACAGAGGUGGUGGCUUCUCCAAGAGACUGAAGUUGCCGGGUACUCGACGUCCAGGGGAUGCCUGAUUCGUGUUGGCGAGUUCGUGUCCUUCAAUUUUCCCAAGCCUGAAGCCGAAAGUAAGAAGAAGUUCUUUGAGCGCAAGAAGGUACGGCCGAAAGCGAGCUCCGACAUUGUAAGGUUCUUGACAAAAGCUUCAGGAGAGGUACGUUUCACUUGACUUGUUUCUUCGUUUUAAUUCUAACCAUUUGCUCACAGAUAGAACGGCUUCCAGCCGACUGGGCCAAGUGUUUGAUACCUUUGGGAAGUGCAAAAUGGCACCAGAGGCUCUUUCUCUUAUGAGCAGCAUAGUUCUCCAUUUGAGGUAGAGUUUUCUGUGUUUACCAGAGACGUUAUUGUGAAGUUAUUGAAUGCAAACUAUCUGAGCCUGAACGUGAUUUUUAUGAUGCCCUUUACCACAGAUCUAAGGCAUGAAGAACUUCUCUUUCUUUUAUUUUCUCUUUUUUCUGAACACGUUUUUGCUUUUGAGAUCAGGUAAAAUUCGAUCAGUUCGUUAAACAAGGUAAAGUUCUCCAUAACUAUGCCUCGAUCCUCGAACUGCUACUUCGAUUACGGCAAGCUUGUGAUCAUCCUUUUCUUGUUCUGAGGUAGAAAAUGCAUCCUCUUAUGUCUGAAGUUCCUGACGUUUUCUUCGUCACGCAGCCGUGGCGAUACUGAAGACUUUGCGGACCUGGGAAAGCUGGCUAGACGUUUCUUGGACAAGAAUUCCUCCCAGGUGCCUUCGACGGCGUAUGUCAAAGAGGUGGUGGAUGAUAUUCGUAAAGGAGAAAGUGCUGAGUGCCCAAUUUGUUUGGAGAUGCCAGAGGACGCAGUUCUUACAUCGAAUGUAAGACUUUCUCAAGAGUGGUGGGGGCGACGAGCAGCUGAGGAGCAGUAGCAGCUACAGGACCCAGCAGUCGCAGCUCACGGUCCCUGCCACAGCUUUGCUCCUUCUGGAGGAGGAGGAGAAGGUCCUCCUCCACGACCACUCUACGUCCCAGCAAUAAGAUUUGGUGGGUGGUCACCUCACUUCCAGCAGCACCAAGACCCACUUUUCCCUUCGGAUCCAUUCUUGACUCCGUCGGACCACUGAUUUCUACGCUCGUUUGCUCCUCUUCCAGUCGAGAGACCGUUCCAUCCGCCAGUGCUGUAUCCUUUUCCGAAUGCUCCGACUUUCCAGCCUGCUGAUAAUGUGGUUCAUCCGGCGCAUUCCUCUGGGGAGCUUAAAGCUCGUCCUGGCCUUCACUUCGAGUCUCCGGUGUUUCGACCCAGCGCAGCAGAGACCUCGGACUUCAAACGCGCCCCAGAGCAGCCGAGGAGAUCGGUUACACCUGCGAAGGAUGACAAGCAACAAUUCCACGGCAAUGGUUCCGAGCUCCUUCAGUUGUUACAGGGUGGUCCUGGUCGUGUGAAGCCCACAGCCUCCACAAAGGUGGAUGCUACACAGGACAGUGGGGAUUCUGGAGAGCCAUCAAAGAAAGGAAGUCCAUCUGCUGUUCACGGCCCCAUAGGACCGCCGAGGCGUCAUGUCGUUUCUCCUCCGCAGAGUCCAAAUGACCUCCUUGGACGUUUGUGGGCUGCUCUUCCGUCGUCAAGCCACACCUUGUUUGGCGGAGAAAGCGAACGCAAGACGUCAGCCCGGAGCUUUAGCGUUGAAGCGAACGAGAUGUCCCGGGAAGUCGAUGGAGGUGGAGCUGCUGGUUUCGCACUUUUGAAGCGAAGGGGAUCGGAGCCUGCCGCCUCGCACUACCUUUAAACGGCUACGACUAUAACGACUCUAAGACAAAUGAUAAGCCGAGGACAAACUCAGCAUCCGGAAGACUACAGGACUAUCGUGGGAGAUCCGUAAAUGGAGAGGCCGAAUUUGAGCCCGGAGGCGAUGACUUUAGAGGUGCGGGAAGGCGUCGAGGUACCGGUCGUCCAGACGCCAGACGCGGUGGUCGGGGUGCUGUUGGCCAGUGGAUUGCGGUAAAUGAGAGGCAUAAAGAUGCUGAGCCAAGUGACAUCACGUCCUGCGAUAUCUCUGAUGGAAGGGACGAGUCGCUUAAAUCUUGAAACGGGACUUAGUCGAAUGCUAGGAGAAAACAUCAACAGGAAUGGAGGAUAAAACAGGCCGACUCAAAGGCAGCAUUUCCAGCGGAGAAAAAACCGGACUACAAGGUUCCAAAGGCACGGUCUUUGGCAUCUCAACUUGAACGUCCAGGCUUGCCAUCGGGAAGUACGCAAAACUCUUCCGUUGGCGCGGCUUUUGAGGAGUCCAAACAGAGGCUCCAUAAUCUAGAUGCUUUGGAAGGAGAAGGCGUGACGACCUCUCUAGAUCUCGAGGAGCUACAAAUUGACGGUCACCGUCGUGAGGGUAACACUCCACAGUUUGACAAGGUUUGUGCUUGCUUUUUUUCUUUCUUUAUUUUCAUGUGUUUGUAUCUCUGGUUACAGCCGAAGGAGAACCGUUUCAGGACCUCUGAAGAACUAAAGGUAUGCAUAUGCAUAUUCUUAAUAUUGUUAUGUUUUCCAUGUUUUACCAUUUACUCUAUACACCAGAUUUUAAAAUACUCAAAACCACGAGAGUAAAGUAAUAUCCUGAGAAUACGAUUUGUAAGCAAAACAGAAACUAUGUCUUCUCCAAACGCUGCUGACGGCUUGGAAAUCUCUGUUUUUGUUUUUUGAGUUAUGCAAAAUAGUGUAGCAUUUGCGCAGAUCGAGAACCCAAUCGAUGUCCACUGAAGGAGCAAGGUUUAAUCCCAGAAUUUUAUCUGGAGAUCCGGCCGCUCCUCAAGCCAUGGUGGAACUUUCGUAGCUUUUAGGCAGCGUAGGACUUUGAGCCUGGGAAAUAAGCCAAGGCCGUGAUCGUCUGAACUCAAUUGGGGCCACACUACAUCAUCAUGACCAGAGAGCUCAAGUUCCUCCAAUCCUGGAAGGGAUGCAAUGGAUGAUGGAAUAUUUUUGAUCCCCAUCAAGUGCGCCCAUCUUAAAAGAGUCAUCUGGUCUGUUGGCUCAAAGAAAUCAUUGGGGAUACAGCCCUUCCACAAAAAUAAUGUGACGCAUUUCACCUUCAGCUGUGAUCUCUCGGUUGGCAUCAAGAGUCUCCUCAUGUAACCUUCUACAUCCAGUUCAUCAAGGUCUUUGGGGAGUUGUGUCACAAAGAGAGGCAAAUGCUCCCAUGUAUUAUCAAGAGCCACAACGAAUGUUAACCUCUUCAGAUUUGGAAGACUUGCUGCCAAAUCAUCCUUGAACUCCGACUGUGCAAUGUGUAGAUUUUCAAGGCCCAGAAAUUCAAGGCAUGGGAACGAUCCAUCCAGACUGAAGAACUGGAUACCACUGCAGUCUAGGUGAAGUUCUCGUAGCCGCUGAAAGCCCUUUAACCAGGACAGGUCUUUCAUUGUCUCAUUGUUCCUGAUGGUUAACAAUUGUAGCUGUGGCCAUUCAAGGCUUUCGGCAUUGUUUUCACCGUCUUGAACCCCGUCAAUCGAAAAGCCCUCAAGCUGUUUGGAAUUCUUAAACAUUCGCUUCCAGUCAAGUUUGAUAGUCGAUUUCACCAUAAUCUCACAUCGUUUCAGAUUGACAAGUUGCCACGGGCCGGUGAAAUCGCCAAAGUCCAUGCUCUUUGCGCACAACUUCAGUUUCUCAAUGUCCACUAGUGCACCAAGGCUGCGAGGUAUUUUUAUUGUUGCAUUGUAGAGUGUUAGCGUUAAAUGUCUUAGCUUGUGUAGGCUUGAAAUUCCACUCAAAUCCACAGCCAGAGCUAACUCCUUAAAGGAUACAAGCUCCAGCUCUUCCAAGUCGAAUAAUUGGGGCAGUAAUGCAAAGUUGAGAUUUCUGGUAGCCUUGCAUUUCAAAACCUUCAGUGAUGUCAAGCUGAAGAGCGCAUCUGGCAAUUGAGGCACAUCAUCGUAGGAUGGAAGGUGAAGCACUUGAAGGUUUCUCAGCUUGGAUAUGCUCUCUGGAAUAGAACGGGCCAAAUUAUAGCAUCCAUUCAAGCUCAAUACCUUGACAUUUUGGAUGUGAUCUAUAUCCAAACCAGAAAUUUCAUGAGGUCCAUCGAGAAGCAAGACAUCUCGCACAUGAAUGUCAGACAAAAGGCUGCUUGUAACCUUCUUUCCAAUGAAUGAAACUUUAGAAAAUGUUGGAGAAAUCCCAGGUGGACAAUCAUAGCCAAACAGGCAUCCCUUCUCGUGCUCUUCCUGGGGUGGGUACUUCCCUUUCAAGAUUCUUAUGCACAGCUUGCGUACCAUGUCGUGCACAGUUACAUACUUUUCCCGAAGUAUACUAGUUGUCUUCACUAGGCAUCUUCGUUCCAGUUCACUAACAAUCUGCAGAGGCGAGAGUUCUGACCCAACCGCUAUCCAACAUUUUCUCAGAUGAUCAAACUGGAUUCGCUCAUCUUCUGGAAACGCAGCCACAUAGAGAAAGCACUCUUGCAGCUUUUCAUCCUUAUUAAAGCGUCCCAGCUCAUCAUAGCUAAACUUCAAGCGCUGGAACAUCCGCUUCUCAAUGUCCCCGUCAUUCAACAAAUGCAUCUUCUCAUAGCGUUCUUCCCACACCUGUGGCCCCUCAUUCCUGUAGACAGCCAUGGCACUGCCAAUCACUUCAAGAGCUAGAGGGAGCCCCUCACAUUUGCUAGCUAUUCUCUCGGCAACUUCCACAAUGUCCGGAUCACUAG
This 80373-nucleotide long non-coding RNA is filed under the name Selaginella moellendorffii. Its description in RNAcentral is "long non-coding RNA (SMOE_LNC002300)". The record is from RNAcentral. Lineage: Eukaryota; Viridiplantae; Streptophyta; Lycopodiopsida; Selaginellales; Selaginellaceae.